RNAcentral lists this long non-coding RNA (57252 nucleotides) under Medicago truncatula (barrel medic). RNAcentral's name for it is "long non-coding RNA (MTRU_LNC006668)". The record is from RNAcentral. Lineage: Eukaryota; Viridiplantae; Streptophyta; Magnoliopsida; Fabales; Fabaceae.
GGAACGAUGAACUCCCAAAUCUUGUUAAACAAAAAAUUCUCACGCACAACAGUACCCUAAAAUCUAGACUUUUUCAUUUUUCUCACACUCAAAGAAUCACAUGAAAGUGAAACACCCAAACUCGUUGGAAACAAAGAAAACAGAACCAUUCCAACAAAUUCAGUAGUGGGAGGACCCUAAUUAUCAAGACAUAAUUCCACGGAGUGAUAUCGAGGCCUUCCUCAAACAACAAACCGAGGAGUCUAUUAUAUUCUCAAUAGAAGCUUCAAUUUUACGGUCCUCAAAAGUUUCUUUUCUUCUUCUUCUCACGUGCAAACCGCCAUAAAUUAAAUAGAAUCUAAAUCCAUGGAUGUCAAUCACAACAUUGAUGGUGGUGCAACUAGGGAUGCAUCUCGUCGAAGCUGAUGAAGAAACGUUUCAGAUGGCACAAAGAACAAUGGUAUAGACUGACUUUAAUUAUUUGCCGGUUACCGGUUAAUGGGUUUUGAAAGGAGACUGACGUGGACCAAUGAAAAAAAAAGUAAUAAAUAGAGAGUGUUUGAGAGACUGUAGAUAGCAUUCCUCAUUAGCACAAUGGCCGAUUUUUAUAAAACCAAAGGACAGCCAGUUGUCAUUUUCAAUGUUAAAUUGCACUCCACAUUUACAUAUUAUGAUAUUGGCAUGCUUCGAUUUAUGUAGUAGAUAAAUAUGACCUUGGUCCCGUGGCUUGGCCCCCAUAUUAAAGAAGGCUCGCCAAACUAACCAAAUUUUUGUGCGUAUAUGUAUAAAGUUAAAACGUGAACUUUUAUUUGGUGCCGCAGAUGUACUACUACACUUCGUAGUUCCAUAAAUCUUCAAAAAUGUAUUUAUAGUUAUUUACAGACUCAAUGAAUAUGCUUAGUCCCCUUAAGCAUGUAGUCAACUACCGGCGCAUAUGAAAAAAUUCAGUUGGAAGGAAGAACCCAUCUUGUGCGUUCAUAAAUUCUCCGACAUAGAUUAGUCGUCAUUAAUCGACGAUGAAAAUUUCGUAUCAAUAUCAUGAUCACGGAAAAAGAAAUAUGCUUAGUGUAAACUUUUGUACAUAUAAUCAAUUUUAAUCGUAAUAAAAAUUAUUUGGCUUUAAUCAUAACCAUUUUAAAAAUCAAAUGUAUGACUGAUUGUGAUUUGUUGACGUGCUUAAAACUAAACUCACUAUUUAUAUUUAUCUAUCACGUUACGACAGUAUUACUACCUAAUAAUGAACCAUAAGCAUUACUAUUAGUUUUAGUACGUGUUAUGAUAACCAUCCGAAGCAAGACAAUUUUUUAUUAUGGAUCAUAUAAUCAUAGGUGAUGUAAUUCUGAAAAUGUCAUCCAUCCAUAUUAUAAUUAGCACGGAUUUGAUAUAUUAACCCAGUAAAUAUCAUAUUAAGAAUUGGCAAUUUUCUUAAUGCAAAAAAUACUUUCUUAACAUCAUUCAUACAUGCUUUUUGACAUCUUUCUUAGUGCAAAGAAGUAGCUUAGGUCAUCCCUGAUCCCACGCAUAGGAAGGAAGGAUUUGGCAAAUGUUUGGUAACCUAUUAAUCUUGAGAGAUAAUGUGUGUAUUUUUAAAGGUCUCUCAAAAAGUUAUAAAAAAAUUAUAUAUUUAUACAACUAUUUUUUAGUAACUUUUGAGACACUAUCUCUUUGAUACUUAGAAUAUGCUCACUCUCUUUCUAUUUAUUGUUUGUCUCAAUAAAGGAAGAAAAAAAAAUCAAAACUAUCACAAAAAUGGUUGCAUAAAUAUAAUUUUUUAAAAAUAAAAUGUUAUAAUAUUUUUUUGGAGUACGAUUAUUUUUAUCAAUAACUAAACACGAACUAGGAGACUUGUAUAGGUCUCUUACCGUGAGAGAGCUUGUUCAUUUUAUUUUUUUUUUCCUUUUCAAAAUGGAUAUGGACCUUAGGAUGUAGUUUAUUUAAUUGGAUGGUAGUGAUUUAUAGCUGAAGUGACCUGAUUAAAUUAAUAUUGUUGGAAAAUAUUAUAGAAUUGAUGGUAUCAUUUACAAAGGGUGAUUUAGUCAUUGAACCAAAUUAUUAUUGAAAAAUACAGGAUUAUCAUUUAUGGCAGUUUAAUUUUUAUCAUUAAAGUAUAUACCUCACAGUUACAACAAUUUUUAGGAAAGAAAAUCACUAAAUUAUCUAGUAAUCAAACAAAAAUAUUUUCACUAAUUUAAACCACACUGAAUGGGAAGCAAAGAUUAAAUUUAUUAUUCCCAACCAUGAUUAAAUUUAUUUUUCACAAAUUCUAUAUAGCUUUUUAUGAGUUGAAAUUGGGAAAUUCAAGUAGCUUCAUCUUCCAUAAACCAAUAAAUUCAUCCACAAACCAAUUAUCCACCCUGAAAAUCAUCCCUAAACCCAGAAUGAAUCCCCAAAUCCAUAAAAGGAAUCUACCACAAACUCAAUACUCAUCUUCAUCCCACAAAUCCCCAUACCCGAAUUCAAAGCAAACUACAUAGUCAUCCUGAAACCCAUAAAUCCCUAAAUGAUGAAAUUCUCAAUUGUUUACAUGUCCCUAGUUUAUUUAAAUCACGAAUUUGUCAAACCCAUAAACUUUGAAGUUGAAAAUGUCUAUGAGAAGGGAAGAAGAAGAGAAAAAAGCGAUGAAUUGAAACUUGUUUGACGAAAAUUAUAUUUAAUUCAUGUUUUAUUUAAAAAUUAUAAUUUUCUUACACAUGACAAUCUUACCAAGACUAGCUUCCGUUGUAUGACAAUUCCCCAAGAACUACUCUCUAUGUUUCUUUUAAGUGUCGUUUUGAAAUAUUAACACCAAACAAUUGUCAAUUUAAAGAUAACAAGAAACAAACUUUGUUUUAAAAAAAAACUUUAGUUUUUCAAAUUUAUAACUUUAAUUAGUUUUUUGAAAAAGAUAAGAGUAAUCAACAAAGGGUAUAAUUGAUAAAUUGUAUCCUUAAAAUAUCAAAAUGACGGUUAAAUAGGAACGCUAAAUUCACAUUCAAACGACACUUAAAAAUGAACGGAGGAAGUAAUAUUCUUAUAUAUGACAGUCUUACUAAUACUAACUUUCGUUUUAUGUGAAUCUUCUUAAGAAGUAAGAUUUUUAUCUAUGACAAUCUUAGUAAGACUAACUUCUUUUCUAUGCGAAUCUUUUACAUUUAUGAAUUAAAUAUUAUAAUAUUCUCAUUUAUGGUUGUUAAAAUAUGAAUUAAAAAUGAAUUUUUAACAAAACAUGAUAUUACAUUUAUGGCCGUUAAAAAUUUAUAUUUAAUUCAUGUUUUGUUUAAAAAUUCUAAUUUUUUUUUGUGAGAUCUUUAUGAUAUUCUAAACAUUUAUGGCCGUCCAAACACUAAUUUCUUAUCUAGAAGAAUAUUUCAAACGACUAACAUCCGUUCUAUGAGAAUCAUCAAAACACUAAUUUCUUAUCUAUAAGAAUAUUUCAAAAGACAAACAUACGUUCUAUAAGAAUCUUCUCAAGACUAACUUCUUAUUAUAAGAAUAUUUCAAAAGAGUAACACAUGUUNNNNNNNNNNNNNNNNNNNNNNNNNNNNNNNACUAACUUCCUAUUUAUAAGAAUCUUUCAAAAGGUUAACAUCCGUUCUAUGAGAAUCUCCCAAACACUAGUUUCUUAUCUAUAAGAAUCUUUCAAAAGACUAAGAAACAUUCUAUGAGAAUCUUUCAAAGACUAACUUCUUAUCUAUGAGAAUCUUUUAAAAGACUAACAUACGUUCUAUGAGAAUCUUCUUAAGACUAACUUCUUAUCUAUAAGAGUAUUUCAAAAGAUUAACAAACAUUCUAUGAAAAACUUUCAAAGACUAACUUCUUAUUUAUAAGAAUCUUUCAAAAGACUAACAUCUGUUAUACGAGAAUUUUUCGAAACCCUAAUUUCUUAUCUAUAAGAAUCUUUGAAAAGACUAACAUCCGUUCUAUGAGAAUCUUCCAAACACUAAUUUAUUGUCUAUAAGAAUCUUUCAAAAGACUAACAUCCAUUCUAUGAGAAUCUUCCAAACACUAACUUCUUAUCUAUAAGAAUUUAUCAAAAGAUUAACAUCUCUUCUGUGAGAAUCUUUCAAAGACUAACUUCUUAUCUGUGAAAAUCUUUUAAAAGACUAACAUACGUUUUAUGAUAAUCUUCUUAAGACUAACUUCUUAUCUAUAAGAAUAUUUAAAAAGUCUAAGACACGUUCUAUGAGAAUCUUUCAAUGACAAACUUCUUAUCUAUACAAAUCUUUUAAAAGACUAACACUUGUUCUAUAAUAAUCUUCCAAAGAUUAAUCUUAAAACUUUGUUGUUUAGAAAUAUUCUUUUUUUGAUAGUGAGUUUAGAAAUAUUCUAAUUUAAUUCAUUGCAUGUGAAAAAAAUCUAAUUUUUUUAUAAAAGAGUUCAUUUUAAUGCUUAACAUUUAUGUAAAAAAGCGUUAAAAAAUUAAAAUCUUUAAGCAAAAUUAAACAAAUUUUAAUUUAUAGGGACUAAAACAUGUAAAAAAAAAAUUUAAGAUCUAAAAACAAUAUUCAAUAUAUUUAUCGGGACUAAAAACUUAUUUAACUCUUGUUGUCUAUUGAUCAUUCGAUUAAUAAUAUUCAAUUAUUUUUUUAAAAAAAAGUCAUAAUAUUCAAUCUACAGUAAAAACGUGAAUAUAUUUUCAACUUCCUCGUUAUAUUUCUCUAAAGAAAAAAAUGAAGUCAUUAUAUUAAUGACGUUCAAAGGAAUAGCAACGAUGUUGUAAUCAUUACAGAUCUGGUGGGAAAAUAAUUUUUUUAUUUAAGAGGAUAUUCCAAGGUUGCCCUGCACUUAAAUGAAUAAUUUAAAUAGAAUUUACCUCCAACAACAAGUUACCAAUGUACAACCACCUCCAAACACAAGUUAUUUUAGUAGCAAAAAAAAAAAAAACAGUCUUUUAUAUAGUCUCCUACCGUAGGAGACCUAUUCACGUCUCCUACUUAGGGUGGGAGACCUUCUCAGGUCUCCUACAGUAGGAGACCCUCUUAUUUUUUUUAUUAUUUUUUUACAACUAAUAUGAUUUUUUAAUGUGAAAAUAAUAGGAAUGCUUAUUGACCCUUAGAUCAAAAUUAAAUGAUCGAGAUUAAAAGUCUCUUUUAAACAACACAUGUUCCUUGCCACAUGGUAUCGUUCUUGUACUGUUGCCUUUCUUUCUCUUCUGCAAAUUUUUCUUCAUUUCCUUCUCAUACCUUUUCCAUUCAUUGAUUGGCCUUCCUUGCAACCACAACAAAGACAUCUAGUGGCGGCGUUAAGAACAGUUUGACUAAGAAGCAGGAGAGAGAAAGCAGCAACGUUGUAGAUAGUAGAAGCGUCGGUGGUGUAGACACCGCCGUAGACAGUUUUUACAAUUUUUGCUGAUAGGAAAAAUGGAUCGGAUGUUGUUUCAAGAAUUUGAAUUUGUAUAACAAUGGUGAUUAUUGAUUGAUUCCAUUUUCUUACCGUUUUUGCUUUUCUUGUGAUUGAUUCCAGAAUUUACACCAAUUUAUUUUCUUCUACUGUAAAAAUACAAUUUUUGUUGACAAAGGUGUGGAUAUUUCCAAAAUUAAAAUGAACCUACAGUGUGUAAUAAGAACUCUCGACUAAAUUCAAAACAUAAAAAAGCUUAAGGGAAAAAAGUAGCUGAAUAAAACCCAGGAAAAUGGAAGAAAAUGAUCUGCAUAUACGUUUCUCUCUCAUUCAAUUGCAAUGCUUUUCUCUUUUUAUCAAUAAACCGUUGAAUUAAUCCAAUAACUCCUAUUUAUUUAGCAACCAAACAAAAAAAUAGUAGUCAAAUCUCCUGCAGUAUGAGAUAGGGCUGGACAAGAAUCCAAAACCCGACCGUAACCCGAAAAACCGAGUUGAAAAAUGGAUAAACGGUUAGGUUUGAACGGGUCGGCGGGUUAUCGGGUGAACAAUCACUGUUUUGUGUGAGUAUAAAUGGACGGUCUCGGAUAUCAAAAACCAAUCCAUUGAAAUCCGAAACCCGACCGCUAGCAAUGCCCAUUGUAUACAUAUCUGAUUUUUUCAGAGACGUGACAUGAAAACAGUGUCUUAAGACCCACACUUUGAAAAAAAGUAACAAUAUCUUCUUGGAAAGCGUAUCAAUAGUUCAUUACAGCAUCAAGUAACCAACUUACUAAUUAUUCUUAUUUUAAUUUUUUGUAUGAUCUUGUAAAAUGAAAAUACUCACUCAUUCUUGCCAAUUGUUUAUUAGUUCCUCCAUUUUAAAAUAAGUGUCUCUUUAGCCAAAAAUAUUUAUUUUAAAAUAAAUGUCACUUUAUAUUUUUAAUAUCACUUUAAUUUUUUUCUUCCAAUUUUACCUUCCUCAACUUUUUUCUCACACAAUUUUCAAUGCAACUUUAAGCUUAUUAUUUUUUUAUAAAAUAAGGGCAGUUAGUAAAAGUGUUACGUCUAAUGAUUAUUUCAUUUCAUUCCUUAAUAUAUGUGCAAUUGGCUAAAACGACAUUUAUUUUAAAACGGAUGGAGUAUUUUCUCUCACCGUCUCUAAAAUUAAUUUCUUUAUGUAAUUGUAAACUAAACCCUUUAAGAUUGAGACCUUGCUUCUCCCUUCUUCUCUCUCAAGACAAACCACCCACGUCCCCACCUGCCUUUCUUUUCUUAUAUCUUUUAUUAUGAUUCAUGAGACUAUGAGAUUCACUUCCUCAUACUAUUGUAGUACCAAUCACACUGUUUGAAUUUAUUUUCGAUUUUGCAUCUCUUUGUUAUCUCUUCAUAUGUUGUGCAACAGCAAUCUUCUCUCUUCAUCUCUUUUUUACUCUCUGUCAAUUUUUAUUAUCUUUUCUUCUGUGAUGGAUUUUUGGUUACAAAUAAUAUGAAGAUAAUGACUCAAUGAAGUAUCCGAAGUAACCCACCCAACAUAACCGUCACCCGUCGAAACCGAAAUCCGAAAAAAACCGAAGCUGCUAACGGACGAAAAUGGGUCUGGAAAGCUCAACCGUGGGUUUGAACGGAUUGGCAUUUUCGGUCCGUCACCGACCGAAACCGACCGUUUGUCCACCCUAGUAUGAGACUUAAAGAGAUCUCCCACCGUAGCCUUUGCGAACUCCAAUGAUUUCCCAUACCUAUGUGGACCGUGAGAUACAGAGUGAUGUCAUUUUUUUGGUACUUUACAACAACAUACAACUAAUUUCUGGUCGUUUAAAACUGUCCUUAAUUUUAGCGUCAAAUCUUAUCCUAUGAGUUUGUGUUAUAUGAAAGACUUUAAGACAGUGACUGGCUAGUUAUCAAAAUCAGUACUGCUAUUUAUAAACGUCAUAACUUUGAUAAAAGAAACUACUCAUAGCAAAAGAAAAUUAAAUCACUAAUUCCUCCUAAAAUUGUUGUAGAGGAUUUACACAUCUCAAACUUACGAAUAGAUGAAGAAAAAAAAACCUCAAAUUUGAACAACAUUGAAUACGUUGCUAUUUCUGUUAACUUGUAAUCACUGGUUUGAUAGUAAGUUUAGGGACUAAUUUGCUAAUAAACCAUAUAAUCCAAGACUAGUUUACUAGUAAAUUAAUUUUAUAUUUCAAGAGCUUAUUUGAUAGUAAAUUUAGCAAGAUGAUCAAGUUCUUCGACAUAAUUUAAAAUUUAAGUAUUUUUUUUAUUAAUUUUACCUUUUCAAUCGAUUUGAAUGUUCUAGAUUGUCGUCAUAUAUAAGGUGAUAGGUUUAUGGAUCCUCUUACUUAUAAGGUGUUCAACCUUUACUAUUUUAUCCGAUGUGGGACAUAUAACUCACUUGCAAACCAACAAAUAUUUUCCCAGAUCAAUUUAAUUGAAUACUAAGUGUACAUACUUUAUAAAAUUGUACACUAUUGUUUUAUUUUAGCAUUGUUCAGUUCUAUGUCUGUUCUUCCAGACACGCACCUCAUCGUACAAGGAUGCAAGUUUUGCCGCGCGGCUCAGCACGGGUAUCUCGACUAGUUAUCCCUAAGAAAAGAUUAGCUCAAAUAUUGGAUUUGAUAAAAUUUGCAAUUUUCUGCCUCAAUAGUGCAGGUCUAAUCAACUAUAAUAUUACACAGUACACUCCUCAGAAAUUAACCUUUAAAUUUAUCCCAAUAAAUGAAAAGAAACAAGAAGCGUAACAUUAAUAAACAGCAAACAUUUCAUGGGAAAAAAACUAACAUUUGACUCUGAUUUUUUUUAACUAGCAUGCGUGUUUUUACUCCAUACCGAUUGCAUAUAAUGCACCUAAAUAAAUUAGACAAAUAUUAGAAAUUAAUUGUUAGAUUAAUAUUUCUCUCCAACCGAGCUUGAAAUUUAGGAUCUUCAACUCAUCAUCUUUUUAUUUUAAAUCAGUAGAGUUAUCCAUAUACAAAUUAUUAUAAUUAAAUAUUAAAAGAGAAGAAGAAUUCACAGGUGCUGUGUUCAAGAGAAGAAAGAACGCAUAUUUGGACUGGAAAGAAGGUUGAAGUAUAGGGAUUAAAUGAUUAUGCUUUCAAUUAAAAAAAUUGAAAUAUGGUUUUGCCAAGUUAUUUAUUGAUUUAAUAAUCAUGAUAGCAUCAAACAGGGGUGGUAAUUAGGAGUGAGAAUAUUUUGCUAGGUCGAAGUCUAAUCCGAUAAAAAAAAAAAAAAAAAAAUCAAGGCAUAGGUAUAGUUUGUAGUGUCUUAUAGACUUACUUUUAAUUUUUAAGUGUGGGUUGAUUUUUUAAAAUCUUAUGAAGUUGAAAGCCUAUUUAAAGGCAUACUUUAUAUGAUCGUAUUUAUAUAAUUAACCUAGCUUAUGUUUAAAUAAACAAAAGAGUAAAUAGAUCAAUAAAAUUAAACUUUAUUUUGAUAUUUAACAUGGUAUUUUGACGUUCUUGUUUUAAAAGAUAUUUUAUUUCAAUUAUAGUUUGGUAUAAUACAUUUAAAUAUAUAAAAAAUUAAUGUUGAUUAAUAAACUUAAAUUACUGAAAAAACUAGCAAAUUUAUAAUUAAAUCUAAAGUACUAAAAAUUAAGGAUAAUAAGCAAGGUGAUCUUCAAGAGGACGGAAAUUAGUCACUUCAGAAACAAGAGAGGUUACGGUGAAAACUUGUGGAACUACUUAAAAAUUCUAGUGGAACUACCAAAGUUGGGAGUGAGAGGAUUAUUUAAAACAAAAAAGCUUUGCCCUCGUUAUGUUGGACCAUUCCAAAUCCUUUGUGUGGGUUCGAUAGUUUUUUUUUUUUUUUGAAAGGAAAAGAGUAUGCUUAUAGCAUUUCAUUAAUAAUUGUUUAUACAACGAGGUAAAUGAUAAUAAAUAUAGGGACUAGCUGAUAAUGUGAUAACCCCAGCAAGAGUGUGAGCUACCUCAUUUGCUUGUCUCCUGUUAAAACUCGACCUUAGAGUUUGAGAAGUGUGUGUUGAAGAGACUCUGGCAUGCUGAAAUCACUUGGCUAAAUUUUGUAACAUCAAUUCGACGAUGGUUAAAGGCAUUUGUUGUAAUCUUUGAAUCUAAGAUGAAAUCGACGUUGUCAGAUUGCAUGUUACUUAGCCAUUGUAAGGCGUGGAAUAAGUCUAAAGCUUCUCCUACGGCAACAGAACACAUAGGAGAGAUAGAUACAGUUUUAGCCAGCACAAAGGUGCCUUCGUCAUCACGGAUACAUAUGCCAAUACCUGUUCAGUUUAACGGAUCCGAAAAACAUUACAUUUCGGACGGCCUUGUUGUGGCCGCUGCCACCUGACCGAAGACAUAUCAGUCGUUGUAUCAGAAGAAUUUCGAGUUGUACAUGAACCACUUUGUCUUACCGGCGUUGUUGUUGUCAUCUGAUCAUUACGAACUGAAUUUGUUGAAGUGUUGUUGCAACUAGCUGCCGGAAUAGUAGUGUUAGCUGCAUACCAAUCCUCCAUAAGGUGACAAGCUCGAUCGACUACAUGAGCACAAGUUUCUGUGACAUCUUGCCAAAGCUUGAGAUUUCUAUGCUUCCAAAGGCUCCAUAGGACAGUUGCAAAUUAUUGACUAAAUUCUUGUGAAAGUUGAUGUAGCAAUUCGAAGAUGGUAUCAGUUAACAUUGCCUCCGCGACCUAUUUCACGUGUCUCAACUCAAGAAAUAUUUCUUGAGCCUCUUCAAGAAAAAGAAAAAAAAUCUUGAGUUGAAGUCAAACAUAACCUUCCAACCAAGUAGACUGUAUUCCAAAUAAAAAAAAAAAUUAAGGACAAGAAUUUAUGUUUUUGUUUAGUCUUUUGUCCUAUGUAUUAUCCAGUUCGUUGCCCCUAUAUUGGCCAAUCUCGUGACCAAUGUGUAAAUCAUAUAGGGUACCGUAAGAGUUGUCAUCAUGUCCGAAUUCCGAUUCCUUAUUUUUUUAGCAAAUGAAACUGCUCAUAUUCAAUUUGUGCAACCUUAAGUCAUAUUCAAACUAUGAAUUUGGAAUAUGAAUUGUGAAAUUUUCAUUCAACGGAUCCAAAUUGAGACUGCGUUUUAAUAGUAUUUUACAAUUUUUUGACCAGACUGAAUCUUUGCAUCAUCUUAUAGCAAAGAAACCGUGAAAGUGAAUCAUGUGCACAUGGUGAUGGUUUGCAAGUUGGACGGUAGUACUUGAAUCACUUUCAAUACAAAUAUUUUUGAGUAAAUCUCCCUGCAAUUUCUUGUUUGUAAAUUUCUUUAUUCCAAAAAUAAAAAAUUGAAUGUUUAUUCAGUAGUCUUGUUAUCUUUAGUGAAUUACUCAUACAUCCACUUCAAUUCCUUUAUACUAUUUGAUAUGUAUCAUUAUCAUACUAGUACAAAUCUAAAGUUGAUUUAUCUUUAACAGUUUAUAAAACAACAAUAAAACAUGUAGAAUAAUUGAAGAAGUUUAUUAACAAUUCAUUCAUCAUUGACCUUAAAAAUUCUAUGAACUUCUUUCACCACAAACCAAUGUGAUUCAGUAAGUGAAAAAAGAAAAAAUGCCCCCAACAUUAAAGGAACACAACAUGUGGUUUCCCAAACUGAUAAAUCAACAAACCAAAAAAAAAAAAAAAAAAAUUAUCAGUUAUUACUUCUUCUAUAUGCUAAAUAAUUCAAGUAGUGGCUUUAACAAGAGGUGACUGAGGAAAUGGAGAAUGAGGUGACAUUACAAUAUCAUCAAACCUUCUUGUUUUAAGGCUUAACCUCAAAUUACUAUGCCAACAAGGUUUAGUGUUCUUCUCAGACACCAUAACCUCCUUAUUAUUCUGAACCACAAAUGACCUAAUCCUUUGUAAAGCAAUUUGCACAUCUCUAUCAUCCAUGUUAGCAUAACACACUCUAAACCACCCUGGCUCAGAACAAUGAAAAGAAACACCAGGUGAAACAUUAAUCUUAACUUCGUGAAUAAUCACUCUCCAUAGUUCCAAUUCUGAUUCAAAUGUAGCUUCCUUAAGAAGUCCUCUCAAAUCCAUCCACACAAAAAGUCCACCGUUACUUUGUAAACAAUUAAUUCCAACUUUGGUUAAUCCACUGGUGAAAAUUCUGUACCUUUGUGCUAACCUCUUUGCACUUUCAGUAAGAAACUUUUUAACGAACUCGUCAUCAGACAGCAUUUUCGCCAUCAAGUAUUGUGUCUGUGUUGAAACUAAUCCAAAACUUGACAUUUUUCGUGCACAAUUUACAACGGUAUCAUUAUAAGAGUAUAUUAUACCAACUCUAAAACCAGGGAAUCCCAUGUCUUUUGAAAGACUGUAAACUAUGUGAACGAGGUUACGGUCACAUUCAAUGUCUGUGUCAUGUUCUAAUAUUUCAGCUAUGCUUAUGAAACUUGGGUGGCUAAAAACCGUUGCAGCGUAAAUUUCAUCGCUUAUUAAGUGAAUACGCUUUUCGUUGAUGAAAUUUACAACGGUUCUUAAUGUGUUUCUGUCCAUAACUGUGCCUAAUGGAUUUGAGGGAUUUGUUAUGAGUAAACCUUUAAUUCUGAUGUUAUCUUCUGUGGCUUUUUCAUAUGCUUCUUCUAAGGCUUGUUUUGUUAAUUUGAAAUUGUUUGCACUUUCGCAGAUAACUGGAACAAGUUUAACCCCUGUUCUCCACCUCAAAUCUCGAUCAAAUCUGCAUUAAGAAAUCAAACAUCUCAUUAGAAAAUAAUUAACAUGUAGAUAUAUUAAAAUAUAUGACUAUGUAAUUAGUUUAAGCACAAAUGGUUUUCUUGUUUUAUUUUUGGUUUGUAUAGGAUGAAUACGAACGAAGUCAACAAAAAUAAAUAAUUGCUCUGAUGGCUUUUGAAUAUGAUAGUUGACUAUUGCAAACACAGUUGUAAAAUUAUUCCCUUGUUGAAAAAGUCAGUUCCAUCAAAAUUCACUACCAUGUCCAUGGCUUCUAAUGAUGACUGGAAUAUUAAAGUAAUAACUAAGGCUGUUUAGUGGAGAUUAAGUCUAUUUUAAUUAAAGAACAUGUUGGCGCACUUGAAAAUGUUCUACCUGCUGCCGCUUACUUUAUAGUGCAGUGAGCUACAAGUAAGUUAGAUCAAGAGAGAUACAUUUGAUCGCUCUUAACCUAAUGACCUACAGCUGACUGCACUAUAAAACAAACUACAGAUAAUUCUAGUUUAAGAUAUAUGAUAGCUACAUUUCACCAUCUUCUAAAUUAAAAUUAAUGGGCAAAACAAUAAUUGAUAAUAUUAUAAUUGGAAAACUUAAUUAAGAUCAAGAAAAGGGGUUGAAAUUGAAUUGAAUGUACAUACCCUGGAUAGUAAGGUGUAGGCACCAAAAAAGCAUCACCAGGAUCUGCCAAACAAAAGGCAGUGGCCUCAUGUGCUCCAGUUGCUCCACCACUCAUGACAAUACGAUCAGGAUCAAAUGUCACUCUAUUUCCUCUUGUUCUUGACAUGAAUUUAGCCACAGCCUGUAAAAAUUCAGAUUAAAUUUAUAUUAGUUUAUUUAUAUAGAUCAAAUUUCAUUCAAAAUUCUUGUUUUAUGUUACUAUUAUCACCACUCACAUUUCUGAACUCUGGUAGACCAUGAUAAUCCUGAAAAUUAGCCAUUUCUUUGAAAUUGUGUACUCCUUCUAGAGUACAAAUUGAGGCUUCUGGGUUACUCAUUAUCCAAUUUUGAACCAAAUCAGCAGUAAGCUGCAAAUAUAAAAAUAAUUGAAUUAGAAUUUAGAGCUAAAAAAUUAAUGCAUAAUACUUAUGCAAGUUCUCUAAAGUUUGAACGUGAAACUCAAAGCUUGAUAUAUACUAUACCUGAUUCUCUGCAAGACCCAUUUGGAUAACACCUUGAGGAUUUUUGGUUGGAUGAAAAGGGUUUUUAUCAUAAGCUUUCCAUCCAUCAAAGUAAGAUGAUGUUUCACCAUGUCCAUCACCAGUGGCUAUCUUGGACAACAAUUGAGGUUGGUCCAUGCUCACAAGUCCCAUUAUUAAUUACUAUAGUCUAAAAUAUUAAUUAAUUUAAUAGAAAAUGUGAUGAAAUCAAUGAGAUUCAAAAACAAAAACAAAAAAGUACGAGGAAGAAGCGAAUUUGUGUGGGAAUUCUUCUUAUGUUUGAAGGUGUAAGAAUAAGUUAGAAGAGAUUGCAAUGUGUAGGAAUGAAGUAUGGGGUGGUUAUUUAUAGCAUGCGCAUAUGCACAAAUAUAUUUUGAUUUUCAGACAUAAGAAUAUUUUUUUAGUUAGUCCAAAUAUAAAAAAGGAAGGUUCACAUGAAGGUAAUGGUGAGACCGUAAGAGUCUAGCUAGCAAAUAUAUUUUUUUGUUAAGCCUUUAAUUUUUAGGAAAAAUGGGUCAUAGGAAACCAAAAUCCAAAAAUUAUUUGGAAAAUAUGGACGAGUUUCUCCGGACACUCUUUAAUACUUUUAAAUGAUAAUUUUUUAUGAAAAUAUAUGUAAUUAAUGCAUUGAAAAUCAAAAUAUUUAUCCUUUUAUAAAAAAUAAAAAAAUUUAAAUCUUUAAAGAGUUUCUCCAACAAAACCUAACACUUCCUUUUAAGAAAAACUCUUUAAUCAUUUGAGUCUAAUCAAUCGAUUAAACGAUAUCUCCUAAUAAUAGUGAAUGAGCAAUUAUUUUUGGACUCUGGCAGCAUUUUCAGCUAUGAUGCCACGCCAGCAGCUUCAGUUGAAAAUUAGACAGAUGCUGGUAGGCAGACAAUAACUAGUAAUAAUUGUCGUUCAAAUAGCAAAAUGCCACUUGUAUUUUGUUUUUGUGUCAACAAAGUGGGAGAAAAAUAUUAGACUUCAAGUUUGUGAUGACCUUUGUAUUCAGGUUUUGUGUUGUACUACAGUUGUAUACGUUCCUAUGCAUAAUACUGUUUUUUUUUAAUAAUCAUAAGACGGAAUAUUACUUUUUAUUUGUAUAAUAAUAUUAUUAUGUACACCCAAAAAAAAAAGUAUAAUAAUAUUAGUAUAAUUGUUAUUUAAAAAAAAUAGUAUAAUUGUUAUUUAUUAUACAAUUGACAUAUAGUUUCACCUACUUAUUUGUAUUUUUGCGUACGCUCUGAUCUGUUAUCUAUUUGUUGGUGGAAGUUGAUGUGGCCAGGGUCAUAAAGAUGGGAAAGAGUUAUGGAUUGGACAGGGGUGCAGAGAUGAAGAUUAGUCUCUAAAUCAACAAAUUAAUUCCAGACUUUAUAGGACGUUCUCAAAUAGGUAAUUAGCAUUAUGAAUAUUUUAAAAAUAUUUUUGACUUUAUCAAAUCUUACUUAUAUUAGUUCUUUAAAAAAUAUGGUAUGAUUAAUUUGAUGGUGAAUGAUAAAUUUAUGAAUUAAAUUGAUAUUAAUUUUUUUUUUGCGGGAAAUCGAUAGUAAAUUGUUAAAAUUUAAUGACUUAAUUAAUGUAAAAUUAAUAGUAAGUGGUUAAAUAUAGAGAAUAGAGAUUGUUUUAAAAUACUCAUAAUCUUAUAGUUUAUUUGAGAGUGUCUUAUAGGGCAGAGACUAGUGGAUUAUAUGGUACACCCAAAUAUUUGAGUGUACCGAUACACCAAAUUGUUAAAUUAUUAAUUAAAUUAGAUGAAUUUUUGAAGAAAUCUAUCAUUGACAAUUAUAAAAAUUAAAUCUUAUUUACCAAAAUGUCGAUGAAAUUAAAUUAAAUUCUUUUGAAUUUUUAUUACUCAUAAUGAAGAUUAUUGAUUAUUUUUUAUGAGAAAAUGUUAAAAAUUUAAUAUGAUUCUUAUAAACAAUGAAAUUAUGUUUUUUUUUCUUAUGAAAUGAUGUUUUCUAAAGAAUAACCUUGACAAAUAGCUCUUUGCUUUCUAAAAUGAUCGUUAAUUUAUCAAUUUAUGAAGCAAGGAGUACCGGUACACCCCAAUUUGUGAGGUAUACCGCAGAAGAAGUUGCCUUAUUUAUUUAUUUGAUACCUGCAAACCAAAUUAUAUUAAUUGGUCGAGUAAAAAACCAUUAUAGAUAUUGGCAUGAGCACCAAUAAUUAUUUGAAAAAAUGAGGGGGAUAUGAAUGUAGAUUCAGAUAUCUUCGUAGUUAGUAAUCCAUCUACACAACACGCACUAAAAUAAUAUAUAAUAGUUUUUAUUGACAAAUACUUAAAUCAAUAUGUAAAUAUAGAGACUCAUUUCUAUGCACAAAAAGUCUAAAACAUUUUUAUAUGCAUCUAAUCAAAUUAAUGUUAAAUAGAUAUGUGUAGAGAUGUUUUAGGAACAACCUAAAAAGAGGACAUUGUAGAGUAAUUUAAAUGUGUAAAAGCUUUACAAUUAUCGGCCUACACAAAUUAAAUCAUAAAUAUAUAUGUAUUGGAAAAAAAUAAAUUGAAAGAAUGAAGAAAGCAUUAUGCCACCUACCAUGACAAAAAGGCUGAUGAAAAAUUUGAUUGAGUGCUUAAGCAAGUUAAGAUAGUGAUUCAAUAUCUAUAUUUAAUUUGGUGAAAAUUAAAUAUAUCAAAAACUCCAAUUAAAUAUAGAUAAAAUUAUUUGAGACUUUUUUUCAUAAUAUAUAUUAUCAAAUGUAUAAGUAAAAAAAUGAGUAAUCUGUUAAUUUGGUCUCUAUCUUUGUAAGUAAUUUUCAAAUCAGUCUCUGACUCUAUUAAUAUUUUAAAUUAGUUUUUAUUUUUGUCAAAAAUUUUUCAAUUAAGUCUAUCGUCUUGUGACAAAAACAAAUAGAAAAGGAUCUAAUUGGAAGCUUUUGAGAAUAUUUAAAAAUAGUUCAUGUCUUUGUCAAAAGUUUUUCAAUUAAGUCAAUUAAAUUCCUCGUCAUAUGACAAAAACAUAGAGGCAAUGAUAUAAUUGAGAAACUUUUGAGGGACUAUUUUAAAAAAUUAAUAAAAUGAGAAACUAAUUUGAUAAUAACUUAUAAAGAUAGAGUCCAUAUUGGUAUUUACUCGAUCGUAAAAAAAAUGUUCUUGGACAACCUUUUGUCCUCAUAUCUUUUCUAUAUUAGGGUGAUGCCCUUCAUGAGACGGAUUUGUACAACCCUACACCAGACCAACCCAUAGAUUUUCAUGGGACGUAUUCAUUUAUUUCUGUCUACAAAGGUGGGUCACAGUUUCAAUUUUUGACACGUAGUAUUAAUUGAGAGUGGAAUUGUUGGAAGAAGAAGAGUGUGACUUUGUGCUGUGAGCAUUAAAUGAAAACACAAGUGGCAUUAUGUCCCAUCCCAUGAAAUGAAAUGAAAAGAGAGUGUAACCAAACCACUAAGUACUAACCUAACAAAGAUACUCACAAUUGGAAUAGAAUUAUUGCCGUGUUGUUGGCGCCAUAUGCACUGCUUACCCUUGUUGGUCGGUGACAGAAUUGUGGAACUGAAUACUAUGGUUUCCACUUUCCACACACACAAUACACUGCUGAACCUAAUUCACAUCAGUUUCACUAAAUCAUGUUAAUCUCAUAUAAAUUUGAUGGCAAUUACAUGAAUUUAAAUCAUAUUGUUAUCGUUUAGUGAGUUGGAUCUCAAGUGUUUACCAUAAUCACGAUAGGUCUCAAGGAUCCUAGAUCAAAUACAUAUAUAAUUACAUAUUGUCUAUGAAGGAGGUCCAAAAACUCGUAACGGAUGUUGAACACGUAUUCUUGGUGGCAACUAGGCUACCCAUAAAAGAAUUAUGGAUAAUUUACCCAACCAAUACACAUUAGCCACAUAAGCACAUAUUCAUGAACUAUCUUGACCCCACUUAAUAUGCGUUGACUCUUUAUCAACGGUACCAACUUAAAUUGAAAAUUCAAAAGUGAAUGCAUGGCGACUACUAACGUGACAAAUAUUAACGAUAUAAAGGAUAUGCACAUUGUUUUCAUGUUUUGUGUGGAAACAACACAUUCUUUUGGUAAAUAAAAUGAGAUGCACGUUAAUAAGUUGUAAUAGAACGAGCUCAUUCUAAUUUUUUCCAUUUAGUUGUAAUUGAAUACUUGUCUUCUCAUUUGUAAUGAUUUCUAUUGUUUGAUUUUUUUUAAGUAAUUUAGUGGCUAGACUCACACAUUAUAAAUAUGAAAAAGUCAGAAAUUUAGAGUUCGAACUUCAACCUCAACAUUUAUUGUUCAUAGAACUAUCAACCGAGCUGUAUUUACAAAACUCCUAUUGUGUGGAUUCAACACGCGUGGUUACUUACAAAAUUUCAUUAUGGCAAAAUAAUAAUAAUAAUAAUAAUAGUUGUAUUUAAGUCCAAUUUUUUAUUUUUUAUUUUUGUAUAUUUUGAUUGUUUUGUCAAAUAAUAUAGUGGUUAGAAAGUCACCUUUUGAGGUCAAUAAUGUACUCCCUCUGUCCAAAAUUAUAUGCAACUGAGUUAAGGGACUUUCGUAAAAAAAAUAUAUAUAUAUAUGUACUCCCUCUGUCCAAAAUUAUAAGCAAAAAAAUCUCAUUUUCUUUGUCCCAAAAUAUAAGCAAACAAAAAAAAAAACUUUUAUGUUAUUUCAAGAAAAUUUCUUUUUCUUGAUGUCAUUCGGCUCUGGCCUUAUCCAAAAAAAAAAUUCAAGAAAAUCAUCUUUUUCAAAGUAAAAUUAAAUGCAAAUUGCAUUCAAUUUGUUAUCCUUUCUAUUAUCUCCAUAAUCAUUAACCAAUAAUAAUUGUUUAUACAUCUUUCCAUGAAACUUAUUCCAAGAAGAACACAAAAAAUUAUACCUUAAACUACUAUGUUUUUGUUUUUUCAAUAAAUGUGAAUUUUUGUUUUUUGCUUAUAAAUUGGGACGGAUGGAAUAUAUUAAGAUCCAACUCAAUGGACGAUGUUGAUAUUGUUUGGCUGAACAUCUUCAUUCAGGUUAGAGCUCAACACUUCGCAAUUAUAUGUGAAUUUUAGGUGAUGUUAGUCACUUCGUCUACGAACCAAUUUUUUUUAACUAUUACUCCUUUCGAACUCAUUUAUAAACAACUUUUACUUUUUCAGAUUCAUUUAAUAAGUGAGUUAAAUAUAAAAUAGUUUAUGUAUUAAUGUGUUCAAGUAAAAUGAGGUAAACAAUAAAUUUAAGCUUCAAUACUAGUUGUAGAGGGAAAAACUCCGCAUUCAAACUUUACUAGACUACUACCCGUGCGUUUCACGGGUCAUUCAUACGUAAUAUAUCGACGAAAUUUGGAAAGAUAUAUCACUCAAAAAAGAACAUUGAUAAAUACUAAUAGGGUUGAUAUCCAAAUUUAAAUUGUCUAAUGGAUACGCUAACAAAAUGGUACGAAAACAUACAUUGCGAAAUACUUCAUGCAUGAUAUACUACGUUAGAAGUCACAUUAGUGUCUUGACAAUCUGCACGGUUUUAAUGCAUGUGGUUGUAUGAUGUAAAACCUGGCAGUUGUUACAAUUAUACAUGUAAUUAAUUUCAUUAUCAUACACAAAGCACAUUUGUACCGCUCAAGGCACUCUUAGCCAAAAAAAAAUACACUUCCAUCAUAAAUAUUGAUAAACCCAUUGAACUGAUGUAAGCAUUGACUGAUGGUUCCAUAGCACAUCAGAAUUGCAACUGCUAAUUAGAAUUCUUUAAUCGAUUGUAUUCUCACAAAAUACCUAACAUGAGGAGUUUAAAAUAUCUUGUUAUGGCCAUGACUGAAUCAAACUUGAUGGUGGACUGUAUGAGAUUAUAAGGAUUCUAGAAUAACUGGAUAUAUAAAUUAAUGCUAAGGAUAUGGCAUGGACUUUAUAAAAAGUGUGAAUUAAUAUUAUUCACACAAAUUCACUAUAAUAACUAUUAGGAAUUUUUAAGGUAAAAGCAUGAUUUAUAGUAUAGCAUCUUAAUCGCAAACUGCUCAUUUUUACUUUUAAAAUUUAUUCACUUUUUUUAUAUAUAUUUUUUAUAUAUUAGUUACUCACCACUAUUUUUUUCCUAAAAUAAGAUUGGAUGAACAUAAAAGUGUAAGUAAUUUUUACAUUAACAUUGAAUAUUAAUGAAACUCUAUAUUAUUCAUUCAAUUAAAUCAAAUUAAUAGUUUAUAAACUUUAAGCUAAAUUCAUUCAUUUUUAUUAAGUUUAUUUAUUUAAAUAUUUUUUUAUUGAUAAAUUUUAAAAUAGUUGAUAAUUUUUUUUUCAAAAAUAUACUAUUUUUUAAACAAAAAAUCAAAUUAAAUAGUAAUAAUGGCCCGGCCCAAAGCCCGAUGGGCAAGCCCUGCCGGCCUAAUUUUUGUAUGGGCUUGGACCAAAAAAGCUCGAAUGAGUUUUUGGGCUAGUUUUUUAGGCCCGGUCCAAAAAUAUGGCUUUUGGGCCAACCUGUUAGCCCGGUCCAUUUUUUACAGCUCUACCUUCAAAGAUAUAUUGGCGCUUAUUAUCAAUGGAACUAUUUUAUUCUCGAGUGCAUAUUAACUCAUAUAUCAUGAAGAAAUUGAUGUAUUCCUAGCUUACAAGCAGACAGUUCUUAAAGUUUUUUUUGUCUUAGGACAGUUCUUAAGAAAAUGGUCUAUUACGUAAUUUAGCUUAUUGUUGUGAUUUAAUUAGCUCUUCUCAAUACACAUUUUUUAUUAAUUGUUAAUAUGUUCAUGUUUGCAUAACCCAUAAGAUUAUUAUAUCUAACCAAUGGAAACUAUGAAAAAAUCAUAUAAUGUUGGUCCUUUUUUUUUGUCAAACUUCAUUUUUUUUUUGAAGAAAAUUAACAGUGUUUGACUCUAUAUAAUAUACCCAUGUGCAGUACUAAGAAAUUCAACCCUAGACCUUUUGACCCAAAAACCUUUCUAUCUAGAGACGGGGAUUAUGUUAUGGUCUCGUCGUCGUCUCCAAAGGAAGGGUUGGCCAUUAUUCAAUGCGCACGAACUGUGAGAUUUGACCAAACAACUCAAAAUAAACUUGACCCCUCAUUCAAUUUCAUAACCACUAUCAGCCUUAUAUUUUGGCCACCCAUGUGCAAAUUAAAUUGGACCAAGCUACACUCUCGAAAUUAGCUGACAUAUCUUUUCAAAAGGGAACAGCUUCUAUUAUUUUGCCAAAACAGGAAUAAGGUAGGUACUGUAGGAAUACUUACUUGACUUGUACGGAUUGCGAUUGAUGUCAUACAAGUAGAAAAUAAUACAAGACUUAUAAAAACGAAGAAGAUAAUUUUGUCCAAAAAAAUAAAAUAUAAUGGGAAAUUAUAUUAUCAUGCAUAUUUUCAUAAUAGAAAAACGUUAUUUUAACAUACAAAUUAAACAUUGUAAUUACCAUCAUCUUUUAUUAUAUGGUUAACCUAGUUUAAAUAUGUGGUAGUACUUUUUUUAACACCACAUUGAUCAUUUUUUCAUUAUAUUAUAUGAUUAUCAUAAUUUACAUAUGUGGUCAUUGUAAUAUUCAAUUGAUGAUUAAUGAAUAUAAUAAAAAAAAUUAAUUUACUAUUAAUCAUGUAAUUAAUUGAAUUAAUUAAGUAUUUGCAUGUCAUUAAUCAUUUAUUUUUUCUAUGGUUGUUCAAAAAUAGGUUUUUAUAUAAAAAAAAAUGUUUAAUUGUAAUUUUGGCUCUCAAAGUUUUAUACCACAUCCGUCCCUAAUUAUGAGAUUUUUGUCUUAUUUUUUUCUUUAUCUCUUUUUAUAAGAUCCCUUUCAAAUUUUAAUGUACAUUAAUUAUUUCUUUACCAUUAUAUCCCUAUUUAUGUUGCAUAUUUUUCUACAAUAUACAAUAAAUACUCUAUGAAAACAUCCACUGAUUCUCUUUCAUAAAGGGUAAACAUGUAAAACAAUAACAAUUGUCAACAAAAUUAGUUCAACAAUCAACUUCUCUAAUUCCCGUGUUUUUCUCAAAAGGGUCCUAUAACUAGGAACAGAAGUAUUAACUGUGUGAUGGAAAAUGUUAACGAGUGCUUCCGUAUCACUCUUUAAGCAAUUUAAAUAUUAAUUUGUUUAUGAAAAAUUGUGUAUUCAAUGCAUUGAUAAAAAGACUCUCGUGUGAUUUUGAUCUCUGUUUACAAUGAGAAAUCUAACCUAUCAAUUUUAUCAAUAUUUGUAUUUACUAAUCUCUAUGUGACCUAUCAACUUUAUCCGUUUUUGCAUUUACUAAUCUCUCAUGUACAUCUAAUCAAUUUUGACUAAAAAAAUAUAUGACUAAUUUUAAUGACGUGCAUGUGCUCGCAAAAGCGAAAAUUAAUGUUUAAAAAAUAAAAUAUAUCAUUUGACCACUUACCCAAUUAUCAUUCUUCUUCCUCUUUCAACCUCCAAUUUUUCCUCCUCCUUUCCUAGCAGACAUUUCCCUACACCCUUUCUCAUCUCUCUCUUAAUUUAUACUACAUCUACUUGCUACAAAUAUAUAAUUUUGGUCUCACAAGUAAAGGAUUCCUUCAAAAAAAAAAAAAUCAAAGGAUUGAUCAAUAAUUUAAUUUUUGCCUCAACCAUUUUAAUUUGUCUGUGUCAAAUUCUUCUAACCAACGUGUGUGGAGAUAGACAUUUAUGCGGCUAGUAUGCACUAGUAAAACUAAAUACACAAUCUUAAUAAUAACGUAACAUAACAUGUUGAAAAAUUAACUUACGAACUUAGGACAUAUAAUUCAGGUUGCUCAGAUUUUGGUUGAAGAGUUGGAGCGAGUCAUGAGCAUAGGAGGUUAACUGAGAAGUUGAACCACAUAUGUGACCACCACUAUAUUGAUUUGCAAAAGCCUUUUGAGUAAAUAAUCACAGCAAAAAAAGGGUGUGUGGGAACAAAAUGAAGGUUUUUUUUUUUUUUUGGUAAUUAUGGUUCGAACCUCAGACCUUGCAUAUAUAAUACAUUAUUUUUACCAAUUAAGUUAAGUUCACAACAACACGAAACGAAUGUUUGAUGUAGAGGUGAAAGAAGGGAGAAAAAGAGGAUUUAAUGAGUGGUCAAAUGAUUUCCUCUCUCUCAUAUUUUUUAGUGUUAAUUUUUACGUAGGUGAACACUAAAUGUCACGUUAUUAAAAUUAGUCAAAAUUGAUUAAAAUAUGCAAAUAGAAUUAGUAAAUGAAAAAUAUGAUAAAAUUAAGCGGUUAAAAUUGCUCAUUGUACGUUGAAAUAACAAUUUUUUUAUGGUGUUUGGGGUUCGAACCUCAGAUAUUGUAUAUAUUAUACAUUGUUCUUAUCAACUGAAUUAAGUUUAUGGAGACAAUGCAUAUUAUAUGCAGGGGCUUAGGUUCGAACCUCAGACAUCCUCCACUUAUUCAUCUUUAAGGUGAAUUUCUACCGCCGUUAGAUUACUUGACAAAAAAAAUUGCUCAUUGUAAACUUUUAAAGUUAAAACUGCACAAUUUUAUUUUUGGAACACCACACCCAAAAAAAUCGAUUAAAAAUAUAUAAUAACUCAUUAAACAAAUAAUAAACUGAAUCAACCAAAUAUUUACAUGAAACUAUUUCCGUUUUCCAAUAUAAAUUUCACUAACGAUAUCUAUCUAAAAUGACUUUUAUUUGAUACUUUUAUAUUUUCUAAAGCAAUGAAAUUAGACUUUUCCUUAAAAGAAAAUCAAAAUUUUAAGACGAAAACAAAGUUCAAAAGACCAAAAGAUAAAAAAGGAAUUGGUAACAUUUACUUUUUUUACAAAAAUAAACUGCAUUCAUUCAAACUUAGAGUACAUCAAUACAAAUUCAAAGUUGUUAAAAACAAAAAUGAUGAAUACGUUAACGAACUCACAACAUCUAUAUUAAUAGUAUAAAAUGACAAAAUAUAUAAACUUAUGAAUAUGACUAUAUUUAAUUCUCCACAAUAUUCAUGUCUUCAGAUUUACAUCGUUGACAAUGUCAAUAUCAUUAUUGGAUUGAAUCUACACUUGAUCAAAUCUAAACAUUCAACUUGAAUCAAUAAACACCGUAUCAAGACGGAAAAAUAUACACCGCACAAAGACGAGAAAUCAAACAAAUCACGUCACGUUAAGACACUGAAAUCACAAAAACAAAUGAAAAAAAAUACUAAAAAUAUGAAGAAGAAAAAAAUCAUUUAUUUAACUAAAAGAGAAAGAAAAAUAAUUCCAAUUUUAGACCAUUCUAAAAUUGACCAUUAAUCACUCAAUUUUGGUUUGUUGAAUUAUUCAAACCUUUGUUGCUGCAAAUGAGUACUCGUAUUAAUCUAGAUGCAUAGUGAGAAUGAGACGACAAAAGAAAUUAAAAACGCUGGAGAUUAUCGUGCAAUGAUCACAUGUAUAUAUUCUAUCGAAAUGUUUUUUUUUCUUUCUUCAGUUGAUAUUGUUUGAAGUACAAAUCCCUCAUUCAAUUUUUUUUAAUGAACUUUAUCUUAUGUUCUUAAUCCUAAUUCUCAAGUUUCUGAAAGAAAUGUUGGUCAAAAAAAGUUUUUGAAAGAAAUGAGUCAUGUUUAAUUCGGAGUUCCACACAACAAAAAUAAAUUUGACAAAAUAUUAUUUCUUCAACCAUAAUUCGAACUCAUUGAAAUUGAUUAUCAUUUAAAUUGAACCACCGACAAUGGAUUGACCCAAGUUGUAAGGAAUUUGAACCCCUCAAGCAUGUGGUUUAUGACUUAUGAGUUCAAUUUUCGGUUUAUUCGUAGGAAAAAUCCGGUUGAGAGGGAGAGAACUCACUUUAUGUUUCCCACAUAUUUUUUGACAAAGAUUAUUCACUAUUAAACGGUGACAGAAACUUCUUACCCAGGGAGGGAAGUAUAAUGGAAAAGGGGCUGCCGCCACCCCAAGAAUUAUGUACUACUACUACUUAUCCUCUAUAUUAACAUGUAGUACUCCCAUGUAACAAGACAAAAAUGUACAGUUUUUGCCCCCCUAAUAAUAUGUGUGUUUGUUUUAAGUUUAUCAAAUUUAUUUUUAGGAAUAACAUUUCUUGAAACAUAAAGAUGGAAAUUUUAUUCCAAGGCAUUUAAAAAAAAUAUAUGUUUGCUUAACAUUAUAAUAUUCUUGGGAGCCAUAAAAAUAGGAAUUAUAAUAGGAAAUUACUCAUGAAUUUAUUCUCAAUCUCCAUGGGAACUUUAUUUCCACCCUUUUUCUAGGGAAAAAUUUUCUAUUCCCAUAAACGUUUUAUACCGGGAAUAAAAUUUAGUAAACUUGUAACAAACAUAAACAUGUGUAUUCCUAUCAUUUUAUUCCCAGGAAUCCACGAAUAUAACUUAAAACAAAUGCACUCUAUGAGUAAUCAAUGCAACCAACCUUGAUAACUAAACUCGAAUAGCAUAAUAGGAGUAAUAUUAUGACUUUUUGCUUCAAGUUUUCACACACACAAACUUAAUAAAUACAAUCCAUUUUUAUUUUUUUUGGUUUUACUCAAACUACUAUUCUUUAAAAGGUUUCACCUAUUCAUUGUAUUAAAAAUUUUAAGCACAUAUCUAAUAAGAAUAGCAUCAUUAGACAUUAAGUUCAAUAAAAAAAACAAUAAAAAAAAUAUAAUUUCAACAUUCAAAACAACAUAGACUCAAUGUCGACCAUUAUUAUCAUUUCAUAAUAAAGUGAGCACAAUGUUAGUGAAAAUAAGUUUCAUAAAACUAUCAUUCAAAAAAAAAAAGUUUCAUAAAAACUAGAAAUAUAAUUUUUCUGCUGAAAAUUUUGACUAUGAGUAAUGAUAUAUGAUACGACAAAAUUUGUCGUGCAGAUUGAACGAAAGCGCUAUGAGUUAAGUUAAAAUCAAAAUAUCACAUAAAUAUUGAAAUGAAAGUGAAUAUACAACAUACCAUAUGUUCCAUGUAUGAUCCAUCUUUCAAAAUGUGUAGUUCUGUAGCUUGCCACUAGCCCACCACCAUCACAUGAUUUGCCUUGUUGUCAUCAUGGCAAACUUACAGCACACAAUAUGAACAACACAAUAAAAGAUGAAUUUCAAUGUAAAAGUGGUACUAGAAUCUAUGUUAGUGCCUUUGGAUCAAAUUGAAUUUAGAAAACACUGAAAAUAAGUUUCUGAGUAAUGUUAAAUUUCGGUCGUGUGUUUUACACGACAAAUGUUGUCGUGCAUAAUAGCAUUUUCCUUUGACUAUUUAUAUCGAAAACAAUAAUCUGAAGACAUUUCAUUAGAAAAGAGUUUUAGCAAAUAAAUAAUCGAAUAUCAAUAUAAUUUUUGCGAUUGUAUUACUAUGUGUAUUUUCUUUUGAUGGAUAUAUAGUAUUUUAUUUUUAUUAAACUAAAUUUUCUACAAUUAUUAGUAGUCAAAGUUAGUUAUUGUUUUUAUUGCUUAUUGUUAUUUUUCGCCCCCCUCGAUAUUUUUUCUGACUCCGUCCCUGUUGGUACCAAUAACCACUUGAUAUACUAUUAAUGGAUCACUUGACUUUAUUCGAAAGCUGUGAAAGUUAAAAAAAAUAUAUAAAAAAAAUUAACACUUAAAAAUCAUUUGAUCAAUGUCACUUUCAAUAAGAAAAUAGAAUUUAACACUUAAAAACCACUUGAUCAAUGUCACUUAUUAGAAAUAAAAUUUUACGGUCAUCCUUAUCUUCAGAAGUAAGUCACUUAAUAAUCACCGUUACCGGUUUGAUAAAAACAAAGAGAGUUGAAUGUGUGUUGAGUCCUGAGACAUACAACACUCCUAUUUAUUUUGAUAUUUUUGAAUGAGUAUCAAUCAUGCUAUCAUUUCACUCAUCAAAAUAAGAAAAUUUGUAUCACAAAUCUUAAUUCAAUUGGUUUUACUCAUCAAAAUAAGAAAAAUUGGAUCCAUAAAUUUUAGUUCAAUCGGUAAACAAAUCUUAAGCAUCUACUGUUAUUUUGUAAAUAAUUGGUUUUUAAUAACUAUUGUUAUUUCGUCUAUUUAAAAACCAUAAGCAUCUACUUUCAACGAAUGUGGUUAUUGAAAUUUGAAUUGUUUUUUUAAGUCGGUCAAGCACAGAUCACCUAUCGAAUUUAAUAGUCCAAUAUAUAAUUUGUAUAGUUUCUCGAUUUUCAUUGAUUAUUUUGUUUUUCUUUUUAAUUUAUUAAAAAAAUUGCAAGUUGAAAGCUGCUCACAAAAUUUUAACGAAAGUUUAGUUAUCUGACUAAUUAGAAACCACUUUCAAUAACCAUGUAGGGGUCGAUAGAAUUUAAAAAUACAAAUCCAUGCAUACGCAGUUAAUUUCCUUUCAUGUAGGAUUUGUGCCAAAAGUUAAGAAAAAUCGAAAUGUAUAAAAACGUUAGGUAGGGUAUGUUUGGAUGUUCUUUUGAACGAGAUACAAUUAUUUUUUAAGGUAUUUAGAUAUUCUUGAAUAUAAUUGAAUUUGUCGCUAUUAAUGACUCUAGUAUCCUUUACUAUUAACGCUAGACUUGAUGAGCUGUCACUUAACCCUAAUCUUUCCCUAAUUUCCCUCCUAAUCCCAUAUUAAUUGCUAACCUCAAUUGCCAAUCGUCCCAGUUAAUCUCAACUGUUGUAUACCUGACGUUUUUCCCUCGCAUUUAAUUCGCUCGCAACUCUCAACUAGCUGUUUAGUACGUGAAAUUAGUGUGGCUUUCCCAUGCAGGAAUUGCUUUUGUAUUCCCCAAAAAGUCUCUGCAUCUCCUCCAAUCUCAUUGGGUGCACAUCUCAACAUGGUUCAAAUUUCUUCUACCCUUUAUCCCUUUAUAAAUAGUGGUGUGCCCAUGCGUUUUGCACUCUUCUGAAAAUCCAAUCAAAUCAAAAUUUGUAAGCAUGACGGGAUGUUGCAAGCUCAUUGUGUAACGCCCACUUUCGUUUAAUCGUUAUUUAAUCGAGUUUAGGUGAUUAUAUUAUAUUUAUUUAAUAUAUGUAUGAUUUUGAUAUGUUUUGAUAAAUUGUGGUGAUUUUGAUGAUUUGAUCGAUGACGUGUUAAGUUGUGAGUAUUGAAGGAUUUGAUUAUGAUAUGAGAUUUAUUUUAUUGNNNNNNNNNNNNNNNNNNNNNNNNNNNNNNNNNNNNNNNNNNNNNNNNNNNNNNNNNNNNNNNNNNNNNNNNNNNNNNNNNNNNNNNNNNNNNNNNNNNNNNNNNNNNNNNNNNNNNNNNNNNNNNNNNNNNNNNNNNNNNNNNNNNNNNNNNNNNNNNNNNNNNNNNNNNNNNNNNNNNNNNNNNNNNNNNNNNNNNNNNNNNNNNNNNNNNNNNNNNNNNNNNNNNNNNNNNNNNNNNNNNNNNNNNNNNNNNNNNNNNNNNNNNNNNNNNNNNNNNNNNNNNNNNNNNNNNNNNNNNNNNNNNNNNNNNNNNNNNNNNNNNNNNNNNNNNNNNNNNNNNNNNNNNNNNNNNNNNNNNNNNNNNNNNNNNNNNNNNNNNNNNNNNNNNNNNNNNNNNNNNNNNNNNNNNNNNNNNNNNNNNNNNNNNNNNNNNNNNNNNNNNNNNNNNNNNNNNNNNNNNNNNNNNNNNNNNNNNNNNNNNNNNNNNNNNNNNNNNNNNNNNNNNNNNNNNNNNNNNNNNNNNNNNNNNNNNNNNNNNNNNNNNNNNNNNNNNNNNNNNNNNNNNNNNNNNNNNNNNNNNNNNNNNNNNNNNNNNNNNNNNNNNNNNNNNNNNNNNNNNNNNNNNNNNNNNNNNNNNNNNNNNNNNNNNNNNNNNNNNNNNNNNNNNNNNNNNNNNNNNNNNNNNNNNNNNNNNNNNNNNNNNUACGUAACGGGAUGGGGUUAUAUGCUAUAACAUGCUUCAUUCUUUUACGUGAACUGCUUAUGUUUUGAUAAACUCUUUUGAGAUACUUAUUGGGCCUGCGUGCCAAAAACGUUUAUGUUUAUGAUUUUCCGCUGCUAUGAUUAAAGAUAUUUGUGAAGGUUAAAUUAUCAUUUAACUGUUUUUGGAUUACGUUUCUAUGUGAUAUCCCGUUUAUGGUUUUUACUCUGAUAAUUGUUUAUGAAAUUUGUAUAUUGGGAAAACGGGGUGUUACACAUUGGCAUUGCAUUGUUUGAGAGGUACAUAUAUAUGCCUAUUGUGUUUACUAUCAUAAAAAAAUAGCAAAAUAACAACUCAGAAAACCUUAUUAUUAACGCAUAUCAACUCACAAAAUUAUGUGCUUAUUGUGCUUUACUGUCAUGUCUAAUGUGCUUUUGUUAUGUUUUUUUUAUCACUGGACUUUCACUGAAUUAUUUUCUGUUUGAUCCGCAGCUCCACUGGAUCCAAAUCCAGUCACUGAGUUGGACAAAAUGGAGAAUGAACUACGACUCCAAUAUAGAACCAUUUGCAUUGAGUUCCACGUUAGGGAUGUGAGCAUUAUUCAGUAUCAUUUUGUCCAGAAAUUCUUCAUAUUUAUCAGUACAUAGACAAACAAUCGAUGAUUCUUUUACAAAAUCCAUGCAGGGCGCUGUCAUGUUACAGAAAUUCUUCACAUCUGGCUUUUUGGUAACGAAGCAAAACAUCUUAUAUUUAAUAGUUUGUACGUAGCAUUAUUCAUGUUAGUUUAAUCUCUCUGUUUGAUUCUGCAUAUGUUACCAUAUGGAUCAUUUUGUCAUUUGACUUUGGGCAAGAAGACUACCUCCGUUGUGUUGAUUGAUGACUGUGGAAACAAAUGGAACUGUAUCACUAUAUUCAGUAAACAGACACAUCGCCACAUUAAAAUUGACGGGGGUUGGAAGCGUAUGCUUGAAGCGCGCAACAUUUCAAUAGGUGCGCACAAGGGCUGGGAACAAUAUUGACAAACUCUACAUUGAAGUCACUCACCCAUCUGUUUUUUGAAUAUAGCUUUUGGAUUCAGAAUUAUUGUUUUGUUUGCGUUGAAGACUUUUUUAUUUUGGGACAUUAUUGUGAGUUGUUAGUUUGUAACAACAGAUAUCCUUUGAAUUGAAUGAACCAUUUUGGCGUUUUGGAUUUAUCCUUGAUAUGCGUUGUUCCAUUGUGUUUGCCCAAUGUUUUCCUUUCAUGACAGUUUUGUUUAUUGUAAAUUCAAUAGUGAAGUAUCCCUUUAUUCAAGUAAAAAAAUGUAAAACAGACUCAAUUCAAAUGCACAUUAGACAUGACAGGUGCAAAACCAAAUUUACAAUGACUGUAAGGGGCAUAUCUCAUUGAACAAACAAAAAAAAAUUAAAGAGAUUUAUUUAGAAAAUGGUGAGAGAUGUUAGUUUGUAGCAUGUUUUUUUUUUUUUUUUUUGAAAUAAAGUCAUAUAGACUGAUUAAAACUUCAGCCUCAAUUACUCUUUUUUAGCCAAUGUUACUUAAAUUUCGUCGAAGUUCUGUUAACAAUGACUGAUACAAUGACUGAUGAAUUGAAGAAGAUUCUGCAAAAUUGACUCCUAACUGCAAGGCAAUUUGUUAACCGGGCCGGGCCACCUAUUUGACACAUCUACUUGAAGGUACCCAAUCCUCUUUUGUUGCCAAGUUAAACUCCUUGAAAACCCACAAGUACUUUUUUUUUUACCAUUUAUCAUAUCCCCGAUCAUCGUUAUGUACUUUUAACACUCGAGCAAUUUUUGGUACUUAAGAGCAUCUUCAAUGGGAGGUCCUUAGUUAACAAAGACCACUCCCUGUUAACGACCCCCAUUGGAGGAAGAGAAAAUGAGUCCUCAUUAAGGAACAAAUAAUUAUAUAAGGACCCUCUCUUUACUAGGCAACUAACCGGUACCGCGUUUAAAAGAAGUAAUAAAAUAUGUAUUAUGUGGUCCCACUUACAAAAUAAGUAAUAUUUUAAUAAUUAAUAGUUGUUUUAAAUAUUAUUUUAUCCAUUUGUUAUCAUUUUAAAUAAAAUGUAAUUCAUGCAAAUUAUUAUUAUUAUUUUUCAACGAAGGAAUGUAAAAUUUGUAAUGUUAAUUUUUCCAUUUUCAAAUUAUUAGCCAAUGUGGCAGAAAUUUAAGUUCAUACGAAUAAAUAAAUAUUUUAUAAUUUUUUUUAAAGAUUAUAAUUAAAUAUUAUGAGGUAAUUUAUAAUUUAAUAAAUAAAUUAUUUUUGUUUAAUAAUGUAACCUUAAUGGGGUUUAUUUAAGUACUUUUCAUCAGAAUCCGUGUAAUUCUAUUGGAGUCAUUGAAUCCUUAAUAAAUACUUUUAUUAAAAUAUUAUAAAUAAGUGAUGUGUAACGUAGGUGUUUACACUGAAAUUUGGUAAACAAUCGCUGGUUUCAAAAUGUUUACUUGCAAGAUCAACCAGUAAAUCUUAAGAGCAUACUGUGCUUUAUUUGUCUCUUUGAAAUUGUAAUGUUUGUUCUUGAAAGACUUUGAUAAAAGCAAGAAUAAAUAAAAGGUAAUUGAAUCCAACCCAGUUGAAUCCAAUCGAAGUAUGAUGCGAAUAAAAGUAAAUGAAUUACUCAAAAUAAACAAGUAAAUUGCAAAGACAUUUAAAGAAAUGUAUUGAAAUUGCAUUGACUGGAUGUAAGUUGGUAUACAUAUUCAUACAUUGCAACUUGUGACUCGUUCAUCGCUUCCAUACGGAUAUUUUGAGCGUAAGUUUUUAGUAUGAUUGAAUUGUGACCCUUUUUUCCUAAGAAAAACUACUAUUUAUACAGAUAGGGUAAUAACUACCUAGUAUGAAAACUAUAACUGCAGAAAAACUACCUAAUCCUAGCCAUACGAUCUAAGUAUCGAAUAUAGCCGUUGAAAUGCUUGACCUUAUCCGGAAAAAUAACCAUCUUCGAGAUCCAUCCGCCCAUCGAACAGAGGCGCGUGUCUUCGAUUCUCUCCCUAGGAGCGUAACUUCAAUUAGUUACCUAUAAGAGAAAUGAUCCUUAUAUAGUUACCCGUUCCUUAAUGGAAACUCAUUUUCUCUUCCUCCAAUAAAAGAUCCUUAACAAGGAGUGAUCAUUAGGUAAAGACAUCCACUUGAAGAUGCUCUUAUGGUAUUGUCCUAACUCCUAAGUAGCUGCAGGUUUCCCUUUCUCCAAUGGAUACUCUCUAGUCCACUUAAACUCUUCCAAGGUAAGUGUUAAUUGAAAUUUGAAAGUAUUGAAAAGUAAAGCAUCUCGAGGGGUAGUAACAUCGAUUUCAAUCUCUACUUCUAAUAACCCAAGAUUUUCCCUAAUAUUCCAAUGUACAUGUACUUCACAUAAUUUUCCCAAGAAUUUUCACAAAAAUAAAACCACUACUUGCAUCGUCUCAUUCUCCACUACAAGUUUUUUUUUUUUUUUUACCUACUAUAUCCAAUACCUCAUAUUUAUUCAUGGAACCAAUAAAAGAAAUGAUAUACUUAAUUGUAUAAAUAACUUGUUUUUUUCUUUUUCUUUUUCAAACGCAUACAUUUCUUAUAAUGUUAACAAUUCAUAUAAUUGUUUUUUUUUAAAGUAUUCAUAUAAUUGUUGUGUCCGUAAUUUUUUUUUCAAAAUUAAAGUUGAUAAUGUCUUAUUUAAGGCCAACAAUGUGUCGACAAAGAUUAAAUAAAUUUGUUUUAAUAUCAAUGGAAAAAGAAUUGCUUAAUGAAAUCAUUUACAAUAAUUUUUGAUUGCUUAAAUAUUAUGUUUUAUUAUCAAUUAUGAAAAAGAUCAAAGUUGAUUACAUGCAAAAUCUUUACUUCACUUUAAAGAUAACCGAUAAUGAACGAAAAAAUAGGUUUGAGUGAAUCACUCCAAUUUCAAUUUGGAAAAAGAUGAGAGAAAGGGAUGACAAAGUGAGAGAAAGAAAAUGCAAUAAGGAAGUGAUAAGAAAUUUAUCGAGUCAAAAAAUGAAACUUCAAAUGAGGGAAGAUAGUGAAAUUCAAAAUCACGAAAAAAGGGAGCAAUUAUUUUUGAAUAUGAAAUAGCGAAUUUUGUCUCAAAAUUCCCAACUUAACUAUUUUCACAAGGUUUAGAUUAAAUUUUUCAACAACAUAUAUUUUCAUUUUGUCAAAAAAAAAAACAACAUAUAUUUUCUUGUCUUAGAUAUAACUCAAAGUUACUUAAAUUCGAACUCAGAAUGAAAUAGUGUUAAAUUUUUUGAACAAAUUUUUCUCGUCACCUUAUUUGAAGUUACGUGUAAAAUAUAUCCGUUCAUUAUAAAAAGGUUUAAACACAUUUUUGGCCCCCUAUGUUUAUCAUAGUAGCAAUUUUGGCCCCAUAAUAAAAAAUACCACUUUUCAGCCCCCUAACUUCACCCCCUUUUGCAACUCAUAGGUCUCCUCUAAUUUUGACCAAGUCAAAGGUUAUUAUUGAAUUAAAUUUAAAUGGAAAAGAAUGAUAGGAAUAAUUAAUAGCCUUAGGAUUAAAUUAGUGGUUUUAAAGAUUCAAUUUUAAUGUUAUUGUGUCCCUUCACAGGUCUCUCUCCUUCAUGUACUUCAUGAUUUGUUUCUUUGCCACUUCAAUUGAUAAAAAGAUUGUUCCCUUUCCUUUUGGAGUUUCGAAAAUCGUAAUAAAUAUUUUGGAAAAAGAAAGGAAAGAAUCACGGGAACAGAUCUGGUGUAGAACGAGAACAUAUAUGGUGGUUCCCCUUAUAUUGCUGCCUCACAUUGCCGACGACAUCUUCACCUGUCACGGUUCCCGUCGGCGCCGAUUGUGAGUGCAAGAGAGAGAGAGAGAGAGAGGGAGAGACGACAAGGGAGGGAAGACGGUCGGAGAGAGACAACAAGGGAGAGAGUGAACGAGUGAGAUAGAUACGAGAUGCCGGUUCACUGUCACCUUUGGCAGAGAACGAGAAUGGCGCAGGAUGAACAAGUGAAUUAUGCAGUAGUUUUAAUGGUGAUUAAAUGCAGGAAAGAGACAUCGUAGAUUGAAGAAGAUGAAAUGUAAAUGGGUUUAAGGAAAAGUAUUAGCUAAGAGAAGGAGCAUGUGAGUUAUUUUAAUCUUGACCACUAAUUUUUAAUCUUGAGCCACAUGGCCUUUGACCCGAUCAAAAUUAGAGGGGGCCUAUGAGUUGUAAAAGGGGAUGAAGUUAGGGGACUAAAAAAUAGUUUUUUUAAUAGGGGGCUAAAAUUACAACUAUGGCAAACAUAGGGGGUCAAAAAUGCAUUUUAGCCUUAUAAAAAAGAUUAGGUUUAAAUGUGUCAUUGGUCCCUGCACUUUCAUCAGAUUUUGGCAUUGGUCCCUGCACUUUGUAAAAAUAUUGGUAUUGGUCCCUCUGUUAACUUUCUGUUAAAAAAAAACACAAAACCAACGGAGUGCCACGUGGCCCAAUCAUUUCACGCCACGUGACACCAAUAUCAAUAUUUUUACAAAGUGCAGGGACCAAUACUAAUAUUUUUUCAAAGUGCAGAGACCAAUACCAAAAUCUCAUGAAAGUGCAAGGACUAAAGACAUAUUUAAACCUAAAAAUUAGAUGGAGAUAAGGUUUGACAAGAUACUAGUACCAGAUAAACCCUCUUUUCAACAAAAAAAGAUGCUAGAUAACCCAUUAAAAAUUGGAUCGAACAGGGUUUAACACGACCCGACCCAAUUCAACCCGCAACCAAGUAGCAUCACUUUCAAAGACAUUUGCAUUUCCAUGGAGGAAAACCCUAACAGUAACAUUAUAGACCAGAGCAUCGUGUGUUCAUACUGCACACGAAAAAGAAGAAGAAGAAAAUCAGCGUCAAUUCUGUCGGCGGAGCCAUGGCGGCGCCUGAAACCCCUCUCAAUUACGUCGGUGUCGCCAGGAAAUCCGCCGCCUUCCGUCUCAUGAAGCAAAUGGUUCCUCUCUCUCUCUCUCUCUCUCGUUACUUUUUUCUUUCUUUCUAAUUUUCUAUUGUUAAUGAUUUUGUAUAUUGAUAUUAUUGAAUUCGAUUCAUUUGUUUAAGGGAUGGGAAGAAGGAGAAGGUCUUGGCAAAGAAAAACAAGGGAUCAAAGGACACGUUCGUGUCACCAACAAACAAGACACUACUGGUUUCCUUUCUUAAUCAUUUUCACGAAUUUACUGUUUAUUCAGAACAAUUACUUAUUAGAUUAAUCAUGUAUUCAGAAUAAUUAAGCAAUUUUAGUAUUCUAUAAUGCUAUGUUAUGUUACGCUAUGCUUAGGGCGUGUUUGGAUUAGCUUAGUUGAACUUAUGCAUGUCAGUAUCUGUGAGACUGUUUGACAGAACUUAUGAAAACAAUUUAUGACAUGUUCAUAUGCUGUUUUCAGCUUACCUAUAUAAGUUUUCCAAUAUAGCUUAUGAAAACAGCUUAUAGAACUUUAUUUAAUAUUUUGUUAUAGAAAAAGCCUAUACAUAAGUACUUAUCAUGAUAAGUGUUUAUGCUAUAAGCUAAAAAUUAAGCUGUUUAUCCAAGGAGUCUGAGUUUGGUUUUUCAAUUUUAAAUAGGCAUCGGAUUAGAGAAGCCAAACCAAUGGGCAUUUGAUACCACACAAUUUGAUAACAUACUCAAGAGAUUGAAAGUUGUACGUUUCUUCCUCUCUUUUCAUUUCUUACUUUGUUAUCUUAAUUAAUUCUCAUUCAUUUAUACAUUUUUUUUUUCUCUUCACUGAAAUAUUUCUUUUUGUUUUUUCUGUAUUUGAUAGCAAGCGCCAGUAUCCAAUGACACAGGUAUAACAUCAGUCCUCUGAGAUAGAUCUCCAGUAAAUUUUGUACUGUUUUGCUAUGUUGAUGAAUAUAUUAUGAUGGUUUGUGUUUUUAUCUACUGUGGUUUAAAUAGAGAGUAACACGGUUAAGGUGGAAACUGAGGCGGUUGUUCCUGUUGAUCCCAAGGUUGCUGUACCCAGAGCUACCAGACCACAAGGAAGGUCUGUAUUUUUUCAUUCAUUGUGUUGUUUAUUGUUUAUAUAACUACAUAUGUAUGAUGAUUUUUGACUUUUCUUUUUAAUUUUCAGAUACAAGAAAAGAGAAAGAGGGAAGCUUGUCUCUCAUUAUUCCUCAAAGGACCUUGAAGGAAUUCUUGUAAGUUCCAACUUCAGACACACCAUUCACUGGACAUCUUAAAGAAUCUGAAUAAUAUCUUUACUUCUUUUAUUUGAUUUUCAAAAAAAAAAAAACGGUUCUGCGUGGCCUGCUACGUUGCCAUGUAAAGAUGUUAUGCAUGAAAUGAAUUUUUAUUUAUCUUUGUAAUCUGUUUCAUGGCCCUGGACAAGUUGCCAAAUCCAAAUAAGCCUCUAACCGAAAUUGUGGAAGAUGCAUUGUGCUCUGAUAUUGGCUUUCCGAUUCUAUAGUUCUAUUCAUUCAUCAAAUCCUGUUAAUAUGUGCAUUCUAACUGGUUAUUUUAGUCAUAUUCUUUACACUUGAUGGGUUUUUGGUAUCAUUUGCAAUGACUGCACACAUGUGUGUUGCAAUUCAUAAGGAUGAGUUGUGUAUUCAAAUACUAAAGAAUGUACACUUUUUGACCUUCGUUUCGUUAAACUUAACUGAAAUGGAAGAUAACCAGAGAUUGCAAUCUCAAAGUAUUAAAGAAUGCUUUAAAAUCAGCUGCUCCAUGGCGUGGUCCUUGAAAAGGGAAACCUGGUGUCAUAAAGUUCCCUCCAUGACGUGUCCCUUGAAAAGGUUGGACCUAUCAUGGGUCUAUUGUAGUCAACCUUACCAUACAUUUACUAGAUCCCGAUUCAAUGACUCAAACCUCUCUCACCCGUACUAUAUUCUAUUGACACUUUACCAAGUCUAAUUGUUGCGCCAAGACUUCUUUCUUUGUGAUUCUUUUAUUUCAAACGUUGCUUUUACUUAAAUGUUAGACUGUGAAUAUCAUAAUAAGAGUAUCAAGCUGAUGUGUUGUCAGAAUCAAGCUUCUUAACUGCAUUUUCAAUAAUCAAGCUUCUUAACUGCAUGUUACAAUGUCAAUUCUAUUUGAUACAACAUUGUCUCUGAUUGUUUACUUCUAUAAUGUUGGUCAUAGGUAAAAAAGAGUGACAUAUCCGAGGAGGGUACUGACAAUGCUGAUGAUGAAUUGGAUUUAUCAAAGACACCUGACUUUCAAGAUUUUGAGGAUGAAGGUAUAAUCUAGAAUUACAGUGAAGUUUUUAUGUUAUUUGUAUUGGGCAUGUAACAUUAAACACAACAACAACAACAACGACCAAGCAUUAUUCCAUUAAGUGGGUUUGGCUACAUGGUUCAAAUUACGUUGUAAUGUUAUAUCAUAAACCAUAUUUUGAUCAAACCCAUUAAUCUCUAAACCUUUUCUUAAUAGUUUCUCUUAUAGUUUUUUUCUAGGUCUUCCUCUGCCUCUAGUGACCUGACCACACCCACUCUCUUAACUACAAAAUCCACAUGUUCUACAUGUCCAAACCACCUAAACCUAGUUUCCACCAUCUUUUCUACUAUAGGUGCUACCCCAACUAAUCUUCAAGUGUUACAACACAUCCAACACAACAUCCUCAUCUCCGCUAUGUUUCUUUUAUUUUUGUGUUGGUUUUUACAGCCCAACACUCCGUCCCAUACAACAUUGUCGGUCUUAAAGAUUUAAAGUUGUUCGAUAAAGUGUUCCCUUCAACUAGUGUGGUACUUUUGUAUUACAUAGAACACAUGAGGUCCUCCUCCAUUUCAACCACCUUGCUUGUAUUCAAUGAUUUACACUUGCUUCUAUUUCUACAUCAUUUUGUAUCAUUGAACCCAAGAUAUUUAAACCAAGUAACUUGUGGUAUGAUAUGAUCUCCACCUUUCACCUCUAAGUUAGAAAUGCUUCGCCUUUUGCUAAAAUUACAUUCCAUAUACUUUAUCUUGCUUUUACUCAUGCGGAAGCAAUAUCCUUAUAAGGCUCGUCUCCAAGCCUUAAACCCCCAUUUAAUUCCUCCCUCGACUCUCCAAGUAGGACUACAUCAUCUACAAAAAAUAGACAUCUCGGUGCUAGCUUUUGGAUGUGUUUCGUAAUUACAUCCAAAAUUAAAGUAAACAAAAUAAGGGCUUAGGGUUAACCCUUGGUACAAUCAUAUUGUUAUGGGAAAAUCAUCAUGACCCACUCUGCGUGUUCAAACUAGAUGAAGCCCCCUCAUACAGAUCCUUGACGACUCAAAUAUAGGCAAUCCUAACUCCUUUCCACAACAUCUAGGCACUCUAUCACGUGCCUUCUCCAAUUCAAUAAAUACUUAAGUGCAAGUCUUUUUUAUCCAUCCAAUGUUGCUUCCUAGGCAUAAAACCAAAUUGGUUAGCCGUAACUCGAGUGUCUUUUCUUAGUCUCCAUUUAAUCACUCUUUUGCAAAAGGCAUGUAACAUUAAAUAUCUACAUAUGAUUGUUUGACUUCAUCAACAUGUUCAUAGGGACUGUCAAGACCCAGGCCCACCCAACCCCCCCCCCCUCCCAAUUUUUUUUCUUAUUUUGUAGACCUUAAAGACAGCAUGUUAUUUUAAUGCAACAGUUUCAUUCCUAUUGGUUAGAGUGGAUAAUUAAAAAAGUAUUUACAAAACAUUUGACCAAGAGGACGAAUAUGCAUGCAUGCAUAAGAAUUCUGGAAUUUUUAAUCCUUAAUUGCCUUAACCUCAAUGUGUGCGCCACUAUAUUCCUUCAACUUGAACAUCACUUUGCAUUGCUCCAAGAUUCAUCUUGUCGGUCACAACAUGAAACACAUGCUUCCACGGAUCCUUUUUCAUUCUUUGUUGUCGAGUUAACACAACAGAUGCAACUACUUGUGGUAUAGAUUACGAUCUUCAGCUUCUGAAGGAGAAGACUUCCCCUCAUCUAUAUAUUUAUCCGUAUGAGCAAUCCGCUCUUCCAUCUAUCUCAUUGAUAGACAACGCAAGCUCUUUGGAAUGGACUUGGUGGCAAUCAAACUCGAGAAAGCACCACACUUCUUUUCCUUUGUUAACAGUUCAUCCAAAACUAAAAUUGUAUCCUUCAACUUCUGAAUCUUGAGCUGCUUAUUAAAGGACAAAGGACUCCUUUCCAAUGUUGAACAUGUUUCAAUUUUUGUUUUUUUGGUAAAAAAACAAGUCAAUUGAGGCUAUUCAAACUUCUUUUUCAUAAUAUUUUUUAAUUAUUAAUACUUUAAAUUUUCAAAAAUAUUAUGAGAAAGAAGUAUUAAUAAUUAAAUACCCCCACGAGAUUUUGUUUUUUCUUUUCAAAAACAACAAAAAACCGAAAAAAUGAAACAUCUUCAAAACAUUAGAAAGAAGUUCUUUAAUAACCAUCUCAAGAUUAAAAAGGUUGAAGGAUACAAUUUUUUAGCCGUGCAUUCUCGAGUUCAAUUGCCACCAAAUCCAUUCCAAAGAAAUUUGCAAUGUAUAUCAAUGAGGCUGAUAUAAUAACAGAUUGCUCAUUCGGAGAAGUAUAUAGAUGAGGGGAAGCCCACUCCUUCUGAAGUUGAAGAUACUAAUAUUUACCACUAUGUGUUGUUGUCCGACAAGUAGCUGCAUCUGUUGUGUUAACUCGGCAACAAAGAAUGCAAAGGAACUGUGGGCACAUGUUUUGACCGGCAAGAAGAAACCUUGGAGCAAUGCAAAAUGAUGUUUAAGUUGAAGGAUUAUAAUGGUGCACACGUUGGGGGCUAAGACAGUUAAGGAUUACAAAUUCCUGAAUACUUUUGACGUAUUCGCCUUCACAUGAUAAAAUGUUGUUCCGUAAAUACAACAUCUUUUUGUACUUCUCGAAUUUCCCUUGUUGUGGGUGGCUCUAUCAUAAAUUUUACAUUGAAAAAUAAAAGGGUCAUUUGAGGGGUAUUGUUCUUUAUAACCAAUAACAUGGAAAAACUUAUCAUAUAUAACUCUGAAAUGCCACCAUUUGUGACGACGUUCUUCCUGCAGGGUGUUGUAAGAAAAAUAAUUCCUCUACUUACAUGUUCUGCCAUUGGCAUUUCUGUGAUAUAUAUAUAUAUAUAUAUAUAUAUAUAUAUAUAUAUAUAUAUUAACAGUACUAUUUUCCUCAAUCAGCCUAUAUUGCAUUGUUACAGGAAGCAAAUGUCCUGAUAUCCAUCCAGAGUGGUGGGGCAAUAAGUUUGGGUUUGUCUCUGGUGGAUUGCUCGGUGCAGCAUCAAAGAAGAAAAAGUCCUCUACAUCUGAAAUUGCUAAAAGUGGGAUGGCGAGAACUCCUUUUUUUGAACAAGAUCAAGAAAACCUCUACAAUUUAGUCCAAGUAUGUGCUUUUCAAACUUGGUAUAUGCUGUAUAUUAUUUUAUCAAACAAUAACUGUACUAUGUUCACAUAUGACCUUACAAUUAUAUAAAGGAUGGUUGCCGAUGUUCUACCAAUAUCUUGAAUUUUAGUUCUAUAUUGUCAUUUUAAUUUCAUUUUCUAACCUGAAUGGUGUAAUUAUUAAUUGUACCGUUGAUUGCUAUUCCAGGAUAAAUCCACAACAGGAAAGCAAGGUCUAGGUAUCAAGGACAGGACCAAGAAAGUAGCUGGAUGCUAUUUUCAGGGUAAAAAGACAUCAUUCGGUAAUAGUGACGAUGAAGAUUCUGCUGACAUAGAUUCUCUAGAAAACGAAACAGAUGAUGAUGUGGAAAUGGUGGUGGAAAAGGUGGAAAAGAUUGUUGAACCCAAAAUGAAGCUGAAGAAGUUGUGCAAGCAGAUCUUAAACCAAGUGAGGCCUAUUUCUCGGGUUGCAUAUUUUUCUCCUUCAUAGUGAAAUCAUGAUUGAUUAGUUACUUUAUGUACAGGCGCCUGGAGAAUCAUUGAAACUGAAACAGCUCAAAGUUCUUAUUGAACAACAUUCAUCUUCAAUUUUGUCGGACUUCUCUUCAAAAAGAGAGGCUGUUGCGUACUUGAAGCAAAAGGUAUGGUUGCUUUAAAUACAAAAUCACAAUUCAUAUUGAAAUUUAAAUAGCAUGGAACCAAAUUUCUUCAUUUUAUAUUUUAAAUUUGAAUGUAAGUUGAUCUUUUAUGUUCAUGUUUCCUUUUUGAAAUAAUGUAAAAGGAAUCUCCUUUUUAACUUCCAUUGCAUAAUAAAUAUAUUGUGGAUGCUCGUUAUGAAACUAUUUGAAGCUUGCUGUAUUAUUACUUUACUCUUCACAAUUAUACUGAGUUAUUUUAUAUAUUUUGCGCUCCAUCUUCUACACUGACAUGUUUUGGUCCUUGACUUUAGCUGACAGGUAGUCGGAAGUUUUGUAUUGAAGGGAAAACAGUGCGAUUGGCAUCUUAGAGAAGUUGAAAUUUUGAUACAUUUUUGGCAGUUUUUCUUAUUCAUUUCAUUCUGGAGGAGAAAAAAGGGUUGAGGUGUUUGGGAUUUUGAGAUGCCUGUUCGAAGUGUAGAUUGCAUUGGUUGGAGUUAGUUAUAGGGUAUAUUUCAUUUCAUUGCUUACCUUUCUUGAAAAAUGUUGUAAUAUGUUUAAUGGCUACACAUUUACAAUAGCAUUUUAUGAAAUGUAGUUUAUAUUUUUUAUUUUUGAAGUUAAAAAAACUUCCAAGUGUGUGUCCACUGGUUUUAAGAUAUUGAAAUUAUCUUUUUUGUAUUCUUAUACAAAUAAUGGUUGUGCAAUUGUGUAUUAUGCAUUUGUGUUUAAAGCGUGUAUUGUCAGUAGGUUCUUUAUUUUAGUGUUUAAAAUGUGUUUGUAUCUUGCAAUGAAGCUUUACUAGUGUGAUACCGUGCGUACGUUAAUGCAUCUAUUAUUGAACAAUGUAAUAUAAAUAAAACAAAAUAAAUAAUGACACCGAAAUUCAAGUUGAUAUAAUUGUUAAAACAACAAAGUAGAUAAACAUACAACAUGCAAUAGAUAUUAAAUAAAUGACAAAUAACUCAUGAUUACAAAUUACAUUACACCAAAGAAAUGAUAUGACAUAAAGAUUCAAAGGCUAUUAACCAGCAUUAAAAAUUAGUAUAACACCCGUACUCAAUUUCUUCUUUGUGACAAUACUAUCAACCAUAUUAAUGAUGCAUGAAUUUAUUCCCAAAGGAUUUUAUGAACAAAAUUCAUGUUAACACAUUUAUUAUGGAUAAGAUGAAAAUCGCCUUUUGAGCAACAAAGCCUUGUGUUCGUUCAAAAUAAUAAUAAACAUAAUACGGAUCAUACACCAUAAAACGGAUUAAAUAGUUUUUAAUUAUACAAAUCACAAGUUUUUAAGUUUAGUCGAUAUAAAAUUUUAAUCCUUCACAAAAUUAGAGCUUUUACUGUUGCAAAAUAAUUGAUGCUCAAGUGCAGCCGUAAAAUGUUGAAAAAUCGAACAAAACAUCUCAUAUUUAACCUCUUGUAAGAAAAAACUCAUAUUUAGUCUUUUAUAAAAAAAGAAGUACAAUGAAAAAAAAAAUUAACUUAAUAAAAUAUUCUUGAAAUUUUUUUAUGUGGGACACCCUAUAAAUUUUAUAGGCUCUUCAAAUGGGUUUUAAUGUGGGAUACCCCUAUAAAAAUUUUGAGUUGAAUUUUAUAUUUAACUUUAAUUCUAGACCAUUCAUUUUAUAAAAAAUUUAUAAACAAUGAUAUGGAAUUUUCUUAUAAGCUUAUUUUUUACUGGUAUAUAAAGGUUUUUGAUUAAAAUGGUUCAUCCUUACUUUUGAGUAUUACGUAAUGUCUUCUCUGUUCGAAUAGUGUUCUGAAUUUAUGGCGGCUCAUUUACUCGACCAUUAUCCGAUAAUUGUGUAGAAGUAGAAUAGAUAUGAAAUGUUAAUUUUUUUUUUUUCUAGAGUUAAAGUAUAUUCAGAAAAAGAUUUAGACAUGUAUUUUUGAAAAAUCCUAAACUAUUUUUCCGAUGCUAAAUAAUAAUAAAAAAGAAAUGAUUUUGUGAAAUGGAAAUAUUCUUUUGAAUGAAAAUUUGAAAUGAGUAAAUAGGCAAUUAUUCUCCGAAAUUGUAAGUUUCGACAAUUACCCAUGACAUUAAUAAAACUCCAAUUACCUAUGAAAUUGGACAACGUUGAUCAAUCUGUUAGUCAUGAUGACGUUUUGCAAAUACCCCCAUGAAGUUUUGCACUUAUGUACAAAAUGCCCUCCGAACUUGAAAAUUUAUAUAUAUAUUUUUUUUCUUAUUCUUGAUUCAAAAGAUAUUAAAGGCAAACAAUUAACUUUAAUAAUUUAAAACUCUACAAUAUUACAGUCCAAUAUAAUAUUACAAUUAACAUUUGGAUUCUUUAUUACAAUCCAAUAUUACAGUUAACUCUUAAUUGUUUGUUUUUAAUAUUUUUUGAGCCAAAAACAAGAAGGAAAGAAAAUAUAAAUUUUCAAGUUCGGGCAUUUUGCACAUAAGUGCAAAACUUCAGGGGGUAUUUGCAAAACGUCAUGUUGACUAACAGAAGAAUUUGACGGAGGGGGUAAAUUGAUUAAUGUUUUGUAAUUUCAGGAGUAAUUAAAAUUUUGUUAAUGUCAGUGGUAAUUGACGAAACUUACGAUUUCGGAGAGAUAAUUCAUAUUUACUCAAUUUAAAAUGGAUAGUGACUCUUGGUUCCUAGAUUCCUAUGUAGGACUUGUCGUAUGUCGGUGGUAUACUGUACUAUAGUGACUACAAGUUGCAACAAAGUUUGUGUGUAGACUUUCAACCAGGAUCGAAGAAUUCUGAGCUAGUUACAGAUAAUCCUUUGAAAUCCUAUGCAAGAAAAACGUAUACGUAGGUGUGCAACAUGUAAAACCAUAAGACUAUAUGCGUGGCCGCAAGGGAAAAAAAAUAAAGAAGUUAAUUUAUUACAUUUAGAUUUUGACCAAGUCUUAUAAAUAAACUCAUUAACAACUUAAUUGGGAAAGUAUCCAAAGAAGUAUUCCAUCUCAUCUUAUUUAUAAGAGAAAAUUAAGUAAACAAAAGUUGAUGUACGUGGUUUAAAAUUUAGGUCAGAUAUAUUAACUUAUGUUGAACAAACAUUUUCUUAUAAAUAGGAUUGAAGGGAGUACUUCUUAUUCAUGAUUAUAAAUUUUCUCAAUAACUUUAUGUAAAGGAUAGAACAAGAUGAAAUAAGAUAUAAUGCAUUGAGUUGAGUAUAGUGAUAGGCAAAAGUUAUGGUGCAUAAGCCAUUUCCUUAUGCACCGUGCAUAAACACGUCACAAUCAUCAGAUUUCUUUUAUUUUGAACAAAAAUGGUUUUGGCUCACUUUGGAGGUGUAGGAAGCAAUUAUGUUGGGAUUUAUGCACAGUGCAUAAGGAUUUCCUUAUACACCAUAACCACUCCCAUAGUGGUAAAGGCAACUCUUAUCUCAUAAUUUAUAAACCAAAACCAAUAGUUGAAUUCCAAUUGAGAGAUAUGUUCGCAUUUAAUGUAUAAUAUUAUUUCAUAUAUGAUAAUUUUUGUUUAAUUUUUCCGGUAAGUAGAUAAAAUGAUAAAUACCACAUAAAUAUAUCUUAUACGCAAUUGCAAAAUCUCAGGUUCUAAUCCGAAUAAAACUGUCUAACCUAAUAAUAUCAUCAUUAUCCACUUAACUAAGUUUUAACAACGAUAACCUCUAAUGAAGUGAAUUUAUGAGAACCAAAAAAAGAUUUAGGAUGACAUCCAAUUUAUAAAAUUUAAUCUAUUCAAUUUCAUUCCGUCAUGUACCCUUAAAAUCUAAGUAGUCUUUUACAUUCUAAAGUGUUCAUUUAUCUAUUCAAUUUCAUUUCGUCAUGUACCCUUAAAAUUCAAUUAGUCAAUUGCCUUUUAAAGUGUUCAUUAAUAAGUCCUUUUUGUCUUAACCCUUUAAUGUUUAAGAAAAUUGAGAUAUGAUCGUCAAAGUUUGAUUAAAAGGUAAAUAAAAUCCAAUAAUUAAUGGGCAUACAAUCGAACUCGAGUGGUCUUAGUUUAAGCAAACGUAUUCUGUAUCUUUUUAAAGUGCCUCUUUCUUUCCUAUCGCAAAGAAGUAAGUAGAACAUAAUAUCCCAAAAGAGUAAAUAAAUAAGUGGCAACUUAAAUUAAAAUGUAACAAGACUAGCUAUAUACUCCAAUUGACUUAAUAAUACAUAACAUAUUUGAACUUUUUUUUACAUAGAUUAAGAAAUAUGUAUAAAUUAUUAAAAAAAUGUACAAAUAAUAUAAUAAUAUUAUUUUUAUUAGAUAUCUUUUAUUAAGUAUGGAUGCAUUUAUCACUGUUACAAUAACAAAAAAAAAAAAAUUAUAGAGUAAUGCAUAUAGUACUAAUUAAUUAGAGAAUAUAAUUGAAAAAUAAUAAUAAUUUGUCAUUGAAGAUUGAAUGAGUCCAUUCUUCUUGCAAAUAAAUCACUUAUGAGAGGAAAUAUAAUUUGGAGAAGAUUUAAAAAAACACUUUGCCCACCCUAUCACGUAUGAAUCAUAUUGUAUUAUUUGGCUUAACCUUAAGACUGAUUCAACUGUCUCAUUAUUCCUUGUCUUAUGCUGUACUCGCCUACAAUCCCCACAAUGAGAAAGAAUAUAAUAAGGUCAGCACCGAAUUGCUGCAAAACUUUAUCACUUUCCCCACUCCCCACUUGCAUUGCACAUACUUUGACUUUAUAACUACAGUCAACUCAAUACUAUUGCCUAUCUAGCUAGCUUGCCAGUUUGAACUUUGAACAACUUGAUCUAAAUAUCUAUCUAUCUAUAUUAAAUUCACCACGCAAUCCUUACACCAUUUAUAUUUUAUGUUAAUUAUAUAUAUCUAAACAUUAGUUGACAUUUUUCAUAUCAAAACCCUCUUCACAAAAUAUCUUCAAUUAUCUUGAGUUAAUUCAACCACUUGUAAUAAUGGAUGAGCUUGCAUUCUUAAUGGAUUGGGACUUGGAAGCUAUCAAUGAAGUACCAACAACAAACCCUUAUUUUUCUCAUUUAUUUUCUGAACAAGAUCAUGAUGAGUUAUUAUUUGGAAGUUUUCCAGAAUUCUCAAAAACUACUAAUGUCCUUAUUCAUGAAUUUGAAGAGCUUUGUAAACCUAAUUUCUAUCCUCUUUCAUCUCAAACCAUCCUUACAAGUUCUCUAGCUACCCCUAAAGAGCCUGAACAAGUCAAAGAAAUUAAAGCAGCUUCUCAUCAAGAUCUGCAAAUUCCAGCAGUAUCUAAAUUUAAAAAAAGGUAUAAAUUAAAUACGAUCGUUAUAAUCAUUUGCAUAUUGCUCUAGUUAGAAUUUAGAAGUAAUUAGAUUUAAGCUUUUUAUGUUGUGUUUCAAUUUUUUUAUUUUUUAUUUUGAUUGUCUUUGUAUAUAUUUUUGUUCGGAGUGCAUCUAUAGUUAUAUAAUAUUUUCUUUAUACUUAGUUUCAAAUUUAUUUUUUGAGGAAACCUCAUGGAUAAGUGUAAGUCAAGCUUUUAAUUAACCCUAAUUAAGCGGAUAUAGAAUUUUGUAGUUGGUGUAAAUACUAAAAAGUGAAUAUGUUGUUUUUUCAGCAAGAAAAACAAGAACAAGAGUAAUAUUGUGAAGAAAGUAACAGCAGUGGAUGGUACUCUUUGUGAUGCAUGGGCAUGGCGUAAAUAUGGACAGAAACCAAUAAAGGGUUCACCUUAUCCACGAAGCUACUAUAGAUGUAGCAGUUCUAAAGGAUGUUUGGCGAAGAAACAAGUUGAAAAGAAUCAUUUGGAUCCAAAAGUUUAUUUGGUUACAUACACUGCAGAACACAAUCAUCCUCAACCAACUCGAAGAAACUCAUUAGCUGGAAGCACUAGGAAGAACAAUAUCUUAGUUACACAUUCUUCAAAGACACCUUUGGUGAAAAUUGAAGAUGAGGUAAAUGUGACAAGUAUGAAGCAACAAAAUAAGGGGUUUGAGAAAGAUGACCAAGAUCUUCUUGAGUGGUUGGAUGGUGCUCAAUUAUGUGAUGAUGGUUGGAUUCCAAGCAAAGAGCUAGAGGAACUUAUUGGACUUGAUAAUAAGUGUCAAUAUCAAUAACAUGCAGAGAUAUAUAGAUAUAUGGCUGCAGUUUUGGAUUCAGAGAAAAUGAUGAAAUUCAAUAGAAUGAUAUAUCAUUAGAUUUUGUUGUUUUUGGUGUGAACCGAGUAUACUCUGCACGCAACUACAAAAAUUAAUCACGUGAGUCAGAUAUAUGACUCCGAUGAAGAGAUUUAACACUGCAUAGAUUUUGUUGUUUGUAUAUAUUUAGAAUAAAAUUCGAAUGAUAUGGAAAUAUAUUUACUUUUUCAUUUCCAUGUCAUUUAGUUUUUGUUUUUAAAUGAUAUCCUCCACACAUGCAACUUUUAAAACUGAUUAAUAUUUUUUGAAUUACAUUUAAGAGUUGUCUCUCUGAAAUUAUAAUUCUCUAUCUGGAUGAGCUUGGAAUGUUGUAUGAAUAAUGAUCACACAUACUUAAGUGACUGGAUUGCCUACUAGCCGAAAGAUACCAAAAGGUCUUCAAAUUUAAGGGUCUUCAACUUAAAUUGAACAAAUUUAUAAUUCAUUUUACAAACUUUGUAAUAAUGGGUAUCACUUUGUUUAAUGUACAUAUAAAUAGUUAGAUUAUAUCUUUAUAGAGAUCUAAACGGUCUGUAAUAUAUAUAGGGGGAGACAUGGACGUGAAAAUAAUACUGACACUCUUAAAAAAGUAUAAUAUAAAUUUAAUUUCCUUAAUAAUUUAUUUUUACAGAAACUAUUAACUAUUUAACCGAGUAUGGAAAUUUAUGUUUUUUAGGAGAAAAGUAUGAAAAUUAUGUCAUGAUUUAUACUACACAAGAAUGCAUUUUUUAUAAUGAUAUUUUUUUUAGGUUUUUGUUGAAUUUAUAGGUUUGAAGAAGAUCAAAGGGAAUGAGAUGAAAGUUGAAAAACACUCAAUUUUUUUUUUUUUUGAAGUAUCCCGGUGGCUAGAGAAAUUCACAUUAAAGAUGAAUAAGUGGGGUGUCCGGGGUUCGAACCCCGGCCCCUGCACAUAUUGUGCAUUAUCCCUUACCAAAUGAGCUAAGCUCAUGGGGACAACACUCUAGCUAAUUUUAAUUGGGAUAAAACUCUAAAUUAAUUAGGAUAGUUGAAACCUAAUUUUUCCGAGAUGUGGUUUAUGUGUAAAUCAAAUCCAUGAAAAGGAAAGAAAUAAUGUCGGUGUUAAACCAUAUUUAAAAGUCUUUUGAAGACGAGGAAGCGAAGGAUUUUGAGAAUAAUGAAUUUUUUUAGUCUCUGAAGUUUUGUUUGCGAGUUUAGAGGGUAAGGGAAGGAAAUGCUUGGUAAAAAAUGGAAGGAGUAAGUGGAAGAAAUAUAAGACAUCAGAAGGAGGGACUUUGGGGGCUUAUUUUUCUUCAAAAUAUAAAACCCUCCUCAUUUGGGAAACUAAAAAAUUGUAUUGGAGGAGGGUCGGGGUUUGGGAAUUGCGAGAGUUUAUAUGAAUUCUUCAAAUUUAAUAUAUGUUGUUAUAAUAUUCUUAAAAUUAAAAAUAUAUUAAUCAUAAGUAUUAGGGUAAAUGUGUCAAAAAAAAAAAAAGUAUUAGGGUAAAUUACAUUGACCUACAAACACCCCCUCUAAUUUUCUAAAUUCACUUACCUCCCCUCUUUUUUAAAUGGUCAAACGUCUGUUACAAACUAUGGCUUUCUCGUUUCCAUUAUUCACCAACCAGGGCAAGCUUACAACCCAUGGCUCUCAAUUCAAUUCAUUUUCUGUUAAUUUUUUUUUCCAACCAUCAAUUUCAUAUUAUCAUCAAGUUUGCUAUGAUGCAUCUUCAUAUUAUCAUCAAAUUAUUCCCCCAAUUUGAAUUUUUCUUCAUUAAUUCAAUUCAAUUUUUUAUAGGUUGAUUAUAAAUACUUUUAGUUAAUAUUGCAUUACUUGUACCAAUCGCUUCAUAAGACAAACGAGAGGCUUGAAGUAGAGCAACAAGGCAAUAUUGAUGCUCAUGCCAAACUAGGGAGUGGUGCUCAGAAGGAUCAAUUCAAGAAUCAAUUGAAGUAGUACCUCCCAAUUUCAGCGUCCUUAAAACUGCACCAAAACUUUUUGCAAAUGAUCCUUUUAUGUUUUCAGUUUGACGAUAGGUCCAUGAAACUGUGGGUGAAAGGAAAAAAAAAAAACAAAUUAACGGAUGUGUUAACACCGUUAACAUAAAAAGGGAUGGUUAGUCUAUUUUACGAGAACUUAAGGGAGGUUAGUGUAAGUUUAAAAAUUAGAGGAGAUGUCAGUGUCAUUUUCAUAGACCUCAGGGGAGGUGAGUGUAAUUAUCCCUAAGUAUUAAUUUAUCACUUUUUAAAAAAGUACUCUUUCAAAAAAUGUGAAAUAUAAAUAUUUCUUAAUUUCCCCCUAUAUUUCUCUCCCCCCUCAAAGCAUUUCCUUCCUGUUUAUCUCCAAACUCCCAAACAAAGUCGUGUACUCGUGCGUCCUUAAUGAAAUUGGAGGCCUAACUCAUCCUUAAAAACCGGUUCAUCAGGUGAGGAUUGUCUCCUCUAUAUAAACUCUUAUCAGGAUUAUCUAUCCGAUGUGGGACAUACCCCCGUCACGCCCAACACUCUUUGGGCUUUGGUGCGUGAAUCGGUAGGUGGCCCUUGAAUUCGACAGACUCUGAUACCAUAAUGAAAUUGGAGGCAUAACUCAUCCUUAAAAACCGAUCAUCAGGUGAGGACUGUCUCCUCUAUAUAAACUCUUAUCUAUCUAAUGUGGGACAUGAGUUUUUCCCAAUAUUCCUAUCAUUUGGAUCUUAAAAUUAAAAAAAAAUGUGAAGUUUUUGAAUGUACGAAAGGGAGAAGGGAAAAAAAGGGUUCUCAUCAGAAACACAAAAACCAAAUGCUUCAAUUCAACCUCUAUCUCUAUUAUGGUACAAUUAUAUUGUAAAUAAAGAUACAAUUCAUACAAAAAAUAUUAUAAAGGAUAAAUUCGAAAAAAUGGUGAAAACUUGAAAAUAGCCGACAAUAAUUUGCCAAAAAUAUACGUACAGCCAAUGAAAAUAUCACAUCUGGUUCGAUAUUAUGCUCAGCUUCAAUUUGAAUUCAAACAUAUAGCAUUCCAUUAAUAUAUCAUAUUUUCCUUCAAAAAUUAAUAUAUCAUAUUUAUAUUCUAUUAUAUACUAAUUCUUCUCAACCUUGUAAGAAGGCAUCCCUGUUUGAUCCUUUUUUUUUUUUUUUUAUAGAUAUAAAAGUAUACUUUAUUCCUUGAAAAAAAAGUAUACUUUAUUUCAUUUACCCAAAAAAAACUAUUUAUAACGAGAAAUUCUUCCUAAAAAAAAGAGUGAAAUUCUUAAUUCCUACUAGUACAAGAAAUCGUAUACAUCUUCACCAAAGAAAGAAAGAAAUCAUAUGUAUCAUUACGUUAUGUUUUUUUGUUGGAUAUAUGAAAUAUGAAAUUUAAUAUCUAAUUAUUUAUUUCAUAUGCCAUUUUUUUUUAUGUUUUGUUAUUAAUUUAAAUUUUGAAUGAAUUUUAUUUAUUUAUUGAUAUACAACAAAUUAAUCUCUCUUUUUUUGGUAGUGUAACAAAUUAAUCUCUAAAAUAACUAAAACUUUUUCAUUUUUCCUUCAAAAAAAAAACUUUUUCAUUUUAAAUUUAAUAAGGGCAUCUCUAUUUAUUAUUUUACCCGACUUCUUAAUUUUAACGGUUGCACACAAAUGAUAUUCUUUUCACCAAAAAAAACUGGUUCCAUGAAUUUUAUUUUUUAUUUUUUGUCCUAGUUUUCAAUUAUUCCCUUUAACGUGCAAGAAACUUGUACUAGCAAGUCCUUCAAAAAAAAAAAAACUUGUACUAGCAAGUGGGACGUCAAUUCACCGACUUUCCAGCUCAGCUGCCAACCCUUCAACCGUAAAAGAAAAUGACAUUUGAGCCUUUUUUUUUUUUUUUUUCAAAGACAUUUUGAGUUUUUGACUACAAAAUCUAAACAAUUAUCUUCUUAGCGCAUUUUUUAAUUUAAAAUGUGAGGAAAAAAAAAUGAGAACCUAUACUGUAUACUUCACAAGUUAGAUUAGUCACAAUUAAACAUUUACACAAGUUAGAUAAGUCACAAUUAAACAUCGAUAAAAAUUUCGUAUCUUAGUAACCAAAAAUCAUAUAUAUGAAUUUGAUUACUAUCCAAAAUAAUGUAAAAACAAUUGCAUAGAAUUAUAUUUCAAAACACACACACGAGAGAAAGAUAUUUUCAAUACCUCCAAUGAUUUUAUUUACUCAAUGAGGAAAAAUAUUGUAAUGUGUAAAUUUAGACUGAACAAUGUUUAUUUUCUAUUUGGAUUGGUAAAGAUAGACGCGAGUGAUUUUUGUGAAUCAAGAAGGGAAGAAGAAACUCCCUUCAAUUAAUAUGCAACGAAAGUGUUGAAAAAUAUAUCUUUCGUUUAAAUUGGGUCAAGGUCUAUCGAGAUCAGGCUUCGCUUAAAGGAUCCCUCAUAUCUCGUGAGCUUAACUCAGUUGGUAGGGAUAUUGCAUAUUAUAUGCAGGGGCUGGGUUUCGAACCUCGGACACUCCACUUCUCCACAUUUAAAUGUGUGAGCUUCAGCCACUAGACGACUUGACAAUUAAAAAAAAAGAUCCACUCACAUAUGUAUAGGCAUGAUCACUAUAUGAUCAAGAUUAGAUUGUGAACAACUUCAGAGGAAUUUCUAUUGAUUUUUCUAAAUAACCCUACUAUAAAAAGAGAAGACAUUUGCACUCGAGAAAAGCACACAGUAUUCUCACUAUCUCUUACUCGUUUUAAUCUCUCAUUGACUUGAGCAAUAGAGUAAUUGCAAAUUUGCAACUACAUUGCCCCCAAGUCUGAGAGCUCUUGUCGUUGUCCUCCCUCGUAUUCUAAUAACAUUGGUUGUCAUUUGAGAUCCACCUCGAAUCAACCGUCAAUUAACUAUAUUUCACCAUAUUAAUACUUUAUUAUUACUAGUGAAACAUGGCCGUCUAUCCGUUUUUCUACUGCAAUUAAUUGCAUAUUAUUAUGAUCAAAUUUUUUUGACAAAGAUUAAAAUAAUCUCUUUUAAUAGUAUGAAAUAGCGUUCUUAUUGUUUAUAUUUUAAUGAUAUUUAACUAAUUUUUCAUUAAAUAAAUUGUGGUGCUUAUGUUUUUCAGAAGGUACAUUUGCUACUUAUGGAAUGGAGGAAUAGCUAGAGACUUUAUGGGCAUUUUCUUUGUCUUUUAUUGUCGUAUCGGGUUGUUGCUAUGUACUACAAGCAGAAUUAUGGGCAGUUCACUUGGGGUUCAAGUUCAACAAUAGCUGCUAAAGAAGGGCAAUUCGUUGGAGUAAAAUUCCCAAUUGGCUGUUAAUUUAAUUAAGGGUGGCUACAUCUCACUCAUGCUUCAAGUUGCUGCCUAACAUUUAGAUUAUUAUGGCUCAACAGUUAGAGGACUCAUCUUUUGAGAGAGGCUAAUCAAGUUGCGAAUUGUCUAGCAAAAUUUGACAUUUCUUUAGAUUUUUGUAUAUUUUAUAAUUUCACGUCUAAUGUUUUUUUUUUCUCAUGGUUUUUUUGUGUAGUUUCUUGGUAGGAGCUUUUCCCUUUAUUUUCCAAAAAAGAGUUCAUCCUUUGUUUUUGAAUAACAGAGUGGAUUCUCUCCAAUGAAAAUCCAAUUAAAUCUGGAUUAUGCGAAACAUAGAUUAAAAAAAAUAUAUAAGAAAAAUAGGGAUCGUGUAUUUUAUUUGUGAGGAUUGACAAAUGAGAAAAACCAAGUGAUAAAUACAACCCGAAAAAAUUCACUCCCUUAUACACCACAAGUUAUAAGCCUAAAUCAAUACAUCAAUUUUCUUUCCCUCAUUUUUACUUAUAUUUCGUUACAAAUGAAGUAUUUUCCAAAAACACACUCGCGCACACACUUACACCUUCAUUUCUCACUUAAUGGAUUAUCUAAUUCUGCAUAUUCACGUGGUUCCACAUAAAAACUCUAGCAUUGUUUAUAAAUCUUAAAUUGAAUCUUUUGGGUGCACAUUAGUUUAUCUUCCAUACUAUUUCAGAAUUAUUGUAGUAUCCAACUUUCCCUUCAAAAAAGCAUUAAGGAAUAAAGGCAUUGUAUUGCUUGUUUAGUUGCAUUGCUUUUGUUCAAUCAAAGUCUCAACGUGUACAUCGGUAAACACACUAUUCUCAUUCUCAAUAAAACUUCAAGAGAUGCUAAAGGCCCUGUCUGUACAAAUGUUGACGGGGAAAAUAGAACGAAUGACUUCUGUAAAAUACAGAAGAGAUCAACUCAAUUUGCUCUAAUAAUAUAAAUUAGGAAAGAAAAAAAAAACUGCACAAGCCUCUCUGCUCACUAACAAAACUAACAUUUCCCGUUAUUCUCGAGAAACUAUUUAACUAUUUUAUAUGCAGUGACCAAAUUGACAAUCCCAGUGGUGACUCAUUUUGAACGAUUUUGUGAUUAUUUGGUCCAUCACAAUUAGUUUGCAACAAUUCAGAAAUUGCAAGGCCCCUUUUCUUCUUUUGUCAGUAUUUUCUCAAAAUGAUAGCCAAAUCACUAAAACCAUCCAAUUGGCUUCCGGUUCCGCCCAAAACAUUCCUUUUUAAAGGACUUCCUGAGGAGCAUCACUAAGUGGAACUGAAUCCAUAUUUGCUUAUCUCAAUAAAUCCUCAAAUGUAGUGUUGAAUUUUAAGUGCUUCAAUGAAUAUCUCCUCCAAAAGCACUCUAGUAUGAGCAGAUUAAAAAAAAAACUUCUGUUGCUUGUUUGAGCUGCUAUACAUGCUAAAGGUACAUUUCACACAGAGCCUCAACUAAAACUGUGAAAUCACUGAAAUUUCCACCACCGCUACAACUGAAAAGUGCCCAGUUCAUUACCAUGCCUUGUAAGAAGUACUUUCCGUUCCGCAACCCAUUCUAAUCGAUAAGAGAGGUCCAGAUUAUGAAGCAAUUGCUUCAAACUGUCCACAUGAUUUGAAUCCUUUGCAUUAUUCUACAAAAGGAAAUAUUGGUGGUAUUACGGAAAAUGAUAAAUAGAUUUAAGGAAAUAGUAGUAGAUGACUUGAUGACCACUAAUGAUGGUAAAAAGCAGUACAUCAUUCAUCUCAAGCUAUCUAGAUGAUGUGGCAGCGGAUCUUUAUUAUUUAUAUUCAUGCAUUUCAACCAAUUCAAUGUAUUUUAGCAUGCUUUCAAUCAACUUUCUAUUAGGCUCUCAUCACGUGCUGCUACCGAGUUUAAAUGAAAAAAGGGUUUUCAACUUAGCAAUGGACAUUUCUUUCUAAAUAAUAAUUUAUAAAACUCGUUGCAUUUUCCCUCAGGCACCAGUACCUGGCAAAAGACCAAGUUCUAGUUUCACUCGUUACACAUCAGUUUUAUAUCUGAAAGAAGACAGCAAAAGAAGAAAGCAAAAGUACCUGCAAAUUAAGCUGCUUUUCAGUAUCCAAAAUGCUGGCCAUAAUGCUUGACCGGGAUGAAUUAGGUGAGAAUCCCUCCCAAGGAGGAACAAAUAUUAAUUUUGUGCACUGGACAGGAACAAAGUUCCGGCUCAGUUUCUCAUACCAGAAAGAUCCCAGUGACCACCAUCUAAUCAUAAGCCCAUGUUCCGAAAAAGCAACCAGCCCCUAUAGGGAAGAAUGUUUAAAGGUGUAGGAGGGAAUCAAUUAUCAGUUUAAGAUAUUUGUAGGAAAAAUCAAUCCCAGGGAAAAUAAUUUCACAGUAAACUAAAGAGAAACAAAACAUUUGGCAUAUAAUGGGGAUAUCAUGGCAGAACUGUUAUUGUAAGGAGCUCUGUUGAUGCAAUUACUAUGAGUUACAACUUCAAAUGGAAAAGGCAAAACAGUAGCAUACUAAGGAAGAUGACUAAUUUCUUUUCAAAAUGAUAUUAUUCGAAAGGGAGAGUACAGCACAGGCUAAACGAGCCCAUAUGGUUCGCAUAACAUAACAGUUCUGGAAAAAUGAAAAAAGAAAAGAGGGCAGCACUCUAAGAUUUUGGGGAAAAAUUUGAUAUAUGAAGUCAAGCUUUUCAACUGGUUUAAAUUGCUACAAUCAAGCACGAUGAACCAAUAUGGAAAACUCAAGUCACAGCAACAAAAUAGUGAAUAAGAAUGGCUAGAAGCCAGAAGGCUAUCACCUAUCAGGAUUCCGGAAGUAUGUUGUACUUCUGAGGGUUCCUCUAUUACUCUCCUAAUUCCUAGUAGUUGUUGAAGUAAAUCUCAACUAUUUUCUUUCCCAUGUAUUGUUUAAUAACAGUAAGGUAAUCAAUAACAUAUGGUGGUUGAAGCAAAAAAAAUUAGUUUAUUUGUCACAUAUAUCAGAGUACGGAGUUGAUGUAAAGAUUCUGAGUAAGACCAAAUUUUGAUACAUAAAUACUUGGUAAGCUAAUUCUAAACCCAUCAACAAGAGGCCAGUUUUACAGGUGGUCCAUGAUUGAGCAGUACGUGAAAAUCGUCUGAAACUUUAACGAUGACUUACGUUGGCUCUUGAAAAUAGAAACUCAUGGUCCACCUUGUUAUAAUGUCUGAGUGAGUGACUUGAGUGAAUUCACAAAAUCAAGAAAAACAAAUGCGUCUCAAAGCUCAACUCAUAUUUGUUUGCUCUUGUUUUUGACAAACUGGCAUUACCGUCUUAGUCAUGAAAACAAAGAAGACCAUGAGCUUCUAAUUCUAGAGGGUGACAUCAGUCGUCAUUGGUGUUUUGGGCAACUUUCAACUACUGGUUCACCAUGGGUCCCCUGUAGAACUUGCCCCAACUAGAACAUAUAAAAAAAACACCAACAAUGUAAAAUAAGCAUAAAAAAUUCUUAAGUACCUCUCCAUCUGGUGAAAAGCUUAGUGCUGAGAUUGCAGUAGUUAACACUGCUCCUGAAGCGGUUGCGGUGAGCAAACUAGGAAGUCCUGGAGGUCCACUUGCAUCCAAAACCUUUAUCAUUGUUACACUGCAUAAAAACAAAGGCUUCCAUUAUAGAGAAUUAUUAUCUCUUCAGUCAUCAGCGCAAAUAAACACAAGCAGAUAAUAAUCUGAAUCAGAUUUCGUAAGUUUCAAAAAAGAAGCAUUAAGGUGUAUUUUUUUGAGAGGGGGCAAGGAGUUUAACAAGUUGUAAGUGCAAUUAUCAUAUGCCGUUCUUAAUUAUCCUCAUCCAGCCUACAUUAUCCACGGCCAACGCAUUGUAUUUAAUAUAGACUCAAGUCACAAAAGAUUUGAAAUUGGAAUUUAAGAAGUUAUGAUUUACAAAUGUUUAUAAUGGAGUUGAUUAAAAAAAAUUAAAUUACUCAUGCUUAUAAAAUCAAUAAUCGAAUUUUUCAUUAAAGAUUGAAAUUUCUUCCUUUUACCUUUAAGUGAAAUCCAUUAUAAACCAAGAAAAUCCCCAUUCAGCUAUUCAAGAUUAGCAGCAAGUAUAAGGCCACAAGACUUGUUUUUUCCUCAAAAAUAGCAUGUAGUUAAUAUUUCUCUUCAAAUUUUCAUUCCAAUUCCAUCCAAUCCCCAUCCCCACCCACAUACGACACAAAAUGAUACAAAAUCAAGUUAAGUGCACUUGUCUCAAGUACAUGUGUGACAGAACUAACAAUGACGGGGUAUCUACAUAUUGUCAGCCUAAAUCCUGAAUUUAAAAUUACAUUCUUUUUUCCUAAUCCUGAUACCUUUGCAUAUCAUAAACCCUAAUGCUUGCAUUGUUAACCUCUCCAAUCACAUCUCCAACUGCUAGUCUGGUCCAAGACUCAUUGACAGCAACCAUAGGAUAUACACGUACAACUUCUUUAAAAGUUGUCCAGGAACUCUGGAAGCACGCCUUCCGCAAGACUGAGUUGCUAGGAUCUAUAGUCUGUAAAAUGAAGUUGACAACCUGCAGAUCUGACCCACUGUCACGGAAAUUCAUGCUUUCAUGUGUUGAAACAGUUAAGUAGUAUGUAAUUUGAAACUCAAGGGAUGAGAAAACUAUUAACGAAAACAAGAUGCCACUCAAAAUAGAGAAUCACUCAGCACCUGACCACCAAGAAUAGAAUCUAAUAGCAAAAGGUGAUAAAAGAGAUAACCAAGAAUGGGAGUUUCUAAAUACGAGUACACAAACCUACCCACAAACAUGCUUUGAUCUAAAAUGAAUAACUGAUAAAGAGAGACAAAUAAAAACAUUUACAAGAUAUAAAUACUAAAUAGUUCUAGCAGUCAACAUAAAUAUAUUGCAAAUAAACACUUGGGAUCAAAAGAUAAUAAAUCUCCCAUAUAUUGAUUUUUUCAGAAGGAACAAAAGAGGCCAUAUUUCAAACAUCAAAGCAUCAUCAUUUCUCUCUUUCCAAUUGUUCUACGUAAAUAAUUCUAUCCAAAUAAAACUAAUUCACCUAAAGGAACUAGUCUGAAAUAAGAAAUGCUAAUACUGUGUUCAAUUUCAAAGAUUCACAUCAAUCAAAUGGUAAUUGAAAAGUAUGUAUUAAUGAACAGCUUGAUGUAGAUAUUGAACAGAAAGGCGAAGUUCAGUGAAAAAAUCAUCCUAGAACUAGAAGCAGCAAGAUGAAUCUAUCUGAAAUAUCAAUGAAAAAUCCAGUCAGUGCUGAUGAAAGUGGCUUUACAAACCUUGUCAAGGUACUGGGCCAAAUAUCUUGGAGAACCACGCAUAAUCCUUAUGAGAGUCAACAAGGAUACCAUGUGGACAGGUGAAUCAGACGCUGUUGACCAAAUUUGGCUUUCGAUCACUGUCAAAAAGCCUGGUAUAUCAGCCAUAGCUAAACUUGGAAGGAGAACCUCCACCAAAGUCUGUUUAAUAGAAAAAGAUGCAGGUGGAAUUUCUGUCAAUGACUUGGAAGACGGGCCACUCAACUCUACUUGGAAAAAAAUAUCUCCAAUUAGACGAGGAAUCUCAGAGACCAUGCAUUCUUUCCACGUGCUCUCCAUGCCUUCUGCAAGGAGCUCAGCAGCAGUGGAGCUGUACUUCUCGUUCAUGGACAUAGCCAACUUCAUUAAUGGAUGAACAACUAACGUGGAAAGCCUAGGUUUUACAAGACUAGGAUACCAGAUAGCCAGUGCAGCAGCAACAAUAAUGUGAGAUGUCAUUGCAUCUUGACUUGUUCCACCAACACAAGAAAUCCAAUCUUGCACUUCAUAUGAUUCUAGCCAAGUCAGUAUCUUGGAUUCCUCAUCUUGGGACAUUCCUUGUUUUUCUGCCUUAGGAGAUAUCCUUUCUACUAUCACAUCUCCCAGAUGUUUGUCUCUACUUCCAGUUUGGGAGAUUGUAUUAAUUGACUCACUAGGUUUUGAAUUGCAUAGAGGUAGAGGAAUAGCAUGAGAGGCAGCACAGUGAAAUAUAGAGCGUGCAGCCAUACGUACAUGCUCACUUUCAUCUUGCCAAAAAGCCACCAAAAGCUGUAAAAAGAGGACAGCUUUCAGCACUUGAUAUCAAUCAACUAGCAAAUGGUUUAAUAACACACAGUUCACAAACACUAUAAACUAACCAUAAUAUAACAAACUACAAUACAGUCCAGCAUCUGCAUUAAUCACUCUGAUGAAGAUGAUGAUAAUAAUAAUAACAUCAUAGGGAACAAUAAAAUAUUUUUUAUUUUAUUUUUACAAUAUCUUAUGCGGCAGCAAAUAGUAUGGACUAGACUUCCAAAUUUGAAGCUAUUUCAGACACUCGGGAAACACAGACAAAGCUCCUAAAAAAUUAGCUUGUCUCAAAGCAUUAAAUUAAGAGUUAAUAGACAUUGACCCUUAAUUUUCUUCAGAGUGCAUCAUGAUCUUAACCCACUAAAAUUUAAAAGCAAAUGUCACUUUAAAGGAGCCUUUUCAUGAAAUGAGUGUUUCUCCUAGGUUUAAACUAUCCUACAGUGCCCACCCCUCUAAACUGCAUUUUUAUUUGUUUUUUGGGGACUUCAUUAGCGAAGUGUCGCAUUUUUUAUGGGGCGGGGAGAAGAAUUGUUAAUCAUGCCACCUAGUUGUACACCAAAGUACUAACUGACUAUACCAGUACUUUACACAUACAACAACCAAGUCUUUUUCCCAUGAGGAUACAUAUAUGAUACUACUUUUGAAAUAAUCAUGCUUCAUAAUCGUUGGCAUCAACUACCACACUCAUCUUGGCCAAAUAACAUUUUUACAUUGACAUAUGUCUAAACUAUUUUUUUCAGUAGUUUCACUUUUCUUCUU